GGUAUCAGUACAAAAUUUUCCUUUUUUUUUUUUGACCAAAUGAAAGAGAAGUAAAAUAUAUUUCAACUUAUCUAAUGCCAAUUGCAAAGUUUGAUUGCAGGGCUACAUAGGAGCAAAACCUGGAUGGACAAGAGUCAGCUUUCCUUACUACAUGUCAAAUGAAGAGUUUGAAUACAUUCUUGCGGCGUUGGAGUUCGUAGCCAUCUAUGGCCAACGAUUUCUUCCUCUAUACCAUUUCAACCUGAGAACUGGCAGCUGGACUUUCAAGAAGAAGGCGCUUAAGGACCUGGUAGGAAAGGAGAAUAGUCACGGCAUCCAUGUCUUGCCUUUGGCUAGUGCUUUUCAGACAAUAAGCUUGGACCGUGACAAAAUUGAUGCAGGAAAGAAUGAUACUCAUGUCAUGCUUCAGUAUGCAUCAUAUUUGAAAGGUGCCAAACGAGUCGCUGCUCUCCUUCCCAAGUUUCCAUCUCGAAGGAGGUUUCACGAAGAUUUAAAUCUUAACCUCCUCCCUUUCAGAGUCUAACUAUACUAUCAAAAAUGGAUUCGAGUUAAUAAUCAAAUUUAUCUAUCUUUCCUCACUUCAUUGGAAUAUUUUCACAAAGCAAAAGCAGAAAUUAAACUAGCUCAAGCCUGUCAUGUUAGCAGACUCUCCAAUUACCUGAAAUCUGUUGCAAUGCCUGACAAAUUGGCUGAUACGUAAUCCAAUCUGGUCAAGACUUGUCUAAUAAUGGUGUCUUGCCCCAAAAGUAAGAUGUAACACCGUUAUAUUAUCUUCAAAUAAAACCUUAAAGUAAUACGAAAUUUUUUCUCUUAACCAUUUUAAAAUUCUUUAAUAAAAAUAAUUUGCCCAAGUAAAUUUCAUAAAUUUAAUCUAACUAAUGAUACAUCUCUAUAUAUUCAAAGGUUAAUUAAUAAAAAACAUAUAAAAUAAUUUCAUAAGAUCUCACUAGCUAACAAUAUUUCUAAUGUCCAAGUAAUAUUUUCAAUUUGAUCUUCUAGCUUUUAAGAAGACUAAACAAACUUAUCAGUUACUCAUGUGUAAAGAAAAGGUAGAAAGAGAAUGAACAAAUUACAGCUAAGCUAGUAUAGGAUCAUACACUUUAUCGGAUCAAACAUCGGUUUCAUACAUAUCAUAUAGAUAAUUCAAAACAUUUGUCAAAUAAUACAUCAAAAUAUUUCAAAAAUCAACAUUAUGUCAAAUAUUUUGUAGAUCAUAAAUGAAAAUCAAAAUAGAUCAAUUCAUUAAUCAUUGCAAAAUAUGUUACCAUUCAAAUAUCAUAAUCAAAUCAAAUCAUGAAUCAAUCUUUAAAAUCAUCAUCAUCAUAAAUCAUCAUUAUCAUUAGUUUAUCAUUAACUAUGAUCACUAUUAUAAUCCGUAACAUUGGCCAUAUCGAUAAUUUUAUCCUUAUGAUCUUUACUAACUAUUAUAACCUGUUGGCCAAACCAUUACACUAACUACUAUGACCCACUAGUCAUACCAUUUGAUCGUUACUAUGUUAACUACUAUAACUAGUUUUGGUAUCGAUAAUCCCACUUCUCAAUAUGUAAAAUAUGUAGCUAUUAUAAAAUUAUUCAUUAAACAUAAAUCAAUUUCUCAUUUCAUUUAUAAACAUGAUCCAUCAUUUAUAUAGCAAAAUGUAAAAUAAUCAUAUGCUCACCCUAUUUUCUUAUAUCGAAAAUAAAGAAAUAAAUUUCAUUUAUUUAAAACAUACAUAUAUACAUAAGUUUCAAAACAAGUAAAGUGUAUGAGAUUCUACUUAUUUCUUUUCGGUUCCACCACUUAGUUUUUCCCUCAAAAUAAUUAAUGGGCUAUUCAAAAUCAUUUCAAUAGAACAGAAAUUAAUCAAUCCAUUUUAAGACCAUUAAUACUAAAAACAACUAAGUUAUAUAAAAGUUAACUAACUAAUUUUGGUAACCUGAGCUACUUUCACUAAAAUGACCCUAUCUUAAGAUAUCCAACUCAAAAUUAAAAUCUUUUUAGUAUAUUAAACUCGACAAAAUUUUUAACCAUAUAUGGCCCACCUUGUAAUUUCUUAUAGAUUAAUUGUAAUAACUUUUGCAAUCUAUUCAUUGCUGCCAUCAGAUAGUAUGUAUAUCUUCUAAUAAAAAUUAUAUAUUUAUUCAUAAAAGACUCUAAAUUCAAUUCAGCUUGUUUAAUCAAAAAGUAGACUAAAAAAAGCUUUUCAAACGUAUAUGGCCCACCUCAUAAUUUAUUGUAGAUUAAUUGUAAUAAUUUUUGCAAUCCAUGUCAUAUGCUACUACCAACAAAACAUGUAUAUAUUCUAAUCAAAAUGAUAUAUUUAUUCGUAAAAGACUCCAAAUUCAAUUCAGCUUGUUUCAUUGGAAUGUAUACUCAAUAACCUUUUUAAACAUGUAUGGCUCAAUUCGUAAUUCAUUGUAUAAAAAUUAAGACAAAUUUUCUAAUUCCUCAUUGCUGCUGUUGUCAGGCAGCCUAUAUAUCAUUAAGUAAAAAUUAGACAACUCUUAAUAGAAAACUUAGAUUCGAUUUACAUUUGUUUCAUUAGAAAGUAGAUUCAGUAAGUUUUCCAACAAUGUAUAAUACUUAAAGUAAUAAUUUAUCCAUUAAUACAAAUUCCAUUUUGAUUCACUUUUGCAAAUCAUAACAUCUCAUCCAAAAAUAGAAUUUCUCCUUCAAUCUUUAGGAUGAAAAAAUAUGAAAAAGGCAUAACAUAUAGCCAAUUGAAAGAACAAUGUCUCAAUAUAACUUACACGAUUUUAGUAAACUACUUCCUGUAUCAUAUGCUAAGAUCAAGGUAUAAAAUAAUUUCAGUAUUGAAUAUUUAAAUUUCUUUACCUUAUAUAUUCAAUAGGCAUUUUAGACUUCCAGAACCUAAUAUCAAUCCUAUAGUCAGCCAAUUUGAAAAUUUGUGUGAGGCUUAUUAACAUAAAUAAAAAAACAGUAUACCCAAGGGUACACAGAGAAAAUCAACGAACUUGUCUAUUGUAAACUAAAGGUUAUUCCUAAUUUUGAUACUACUUUCCUGUUUCUUUCCAUCAUUUGGUUCUCAAUAAACAAAAUGAUAUCCAAGUUCUUUGAAAAUCCCUAGAGCUGAUGGUUGUUACUCAAGUUCAUUUGGUUUUAGGACAAUGCACCUGUUCUUCAAUCUUAUUUACUGAUGUUUGAAGAAAUGAACAAUAAUUGCUGUAAAACAACAUAAAAUCAUUGUGCUACACCACCAUUCUGUAAUAUAAUCCAUCAAUCUAGGUCACGAAUAAAAAGAAUUGAGGAAUUCAAUUCACACAGUACCUUAUGGGUGAAUUUGAACAUACCACUCUAUCCUAAUCCUUUAUUAGCAUGUAUGAUGUCAUGUAUAUGCAAUCACGCCAAAUAGCCUUUUAAAAAGCUAUCACAGGAACCCCUCAUAAUAUGUGAAUCGCAAAAUCUUAGUACUUGAUUCCAAAAUCAAUUAUAAAAUAACAAAUAAUAUCAAUAUACAUAGAUAUAAUAAUCUUAUGCCAUGUUUGGUAUAUAAGAUUAUAACUUGAUAGGGUACAAUGAUAUUAUAAAUAUAAUUAGAUUAAAUAAUGUUAUCUUGUUUUGUGUUUGCUAUAUGUAAAGAUUAGGAUAGGAUAAUUUAUUUAUUUGUCAAAAUUGUCUUUAUUCAAAGUUUAUAUAAAUUAUUAAAGUAAUUUUUAAGGGUAUAAUUGAACCUGUAAGUUUAAUCUAUAAAUUAAAAGUUAUCCUCUCUACAUUGAGAGGAUUGAAUAAUCCUAUACCAAAAAGAUAUUAAUCCUCAUUGCAAACCUUACGAAUAUUCUUCAUAUUCUAUCAAUAAUCAUAUGUAUCAAAUAUGACCUUAAUCUACUAUUUUAGUAGAACUACUCUAACACAGAGAGUCGUCUCUUAUGAAGUCCAGUUCAACAUCCAAAUUUUUGUUUAGAAAACAAUCUUUCCACCACCAUUGCUCUUUAUAUAGUCUUCAUCUUUGCUUUAUAAACUCCCUAUUGAUGUCCUAUUAGGAUAUAGAGCGAGAAUUGUUCAUAAGUGGGCUAUCAUUAAUAGUUGGUUUUAAUAAUUUAAUAAAAUUGGUUGAUGUGUUUACUCUUAAUAUGAGAUAAGCAUGAGAGUUUAAAUAAUUUAAUGUGAUUACUUAAAUGUAAGAUUUGCACAUCUUACUAAAUCAAUCUGGUUUGAAGGUUUUAUAGACCUUUAGUCUAGUAAGUGUUUGAUGAUGAGGCUUUAAGGGUUUUCAAUUAAAAUAGGUUUAAAUAACUUUUUUUUUUUUUACUUUUAUACGAGUUACGGUUACUGCUCAUUGAGUGUCACCAAUAAGAGAAGAGUGACAAGGAAGACCUAGGCACUUUAAGGAUUGUUUUGCUUCGGUAUAUUUAUCAUGACCACCCAAAUAAGUAUAACGAAUCUCUUUAUUUGUUAUGAUGUUCUAAUUAUCAAACAAUGAUCUUGGGUUAAUGUUUACAUAUGGUAUCAGAGCUAUCAUUAUGUGAUAUUAGGACCCUAAAAUCAUGAUUUGUAAUUGAUUUUUGAACAAACAACAUAUUUAGGGUGAAAUUACAUUGUUGUCAAAAUUUUAAAUUUUUGUUCUUUAUUUUUUGAAAUUGAUUUAGAAUUUUAAUUUCUCUUUAAAAAAAGAUUAAAAUUAUAUAAAGAUCAUUUUCUAAUUCCUUAUAUCGGGAGAGAAAUCAAGGUUGAAAAUUUUUAGGUUUAAGUUUUAAUCUAAAUUCUCGUUUUGAUUAAAACAUCAAACAUUUGAUGUGUUUAAUUCAAAAUUGGUUCUUGAAUCAUGUUUCUCAUGUGUUUUAAAGUUAAAUCAAAGCAUUUAAUUUCAUAUUGUUUUAGAUUGACCAAACAAGAAGAAAAUAAAAAGAGGUCUAAUAUGUGUUUAUGUAAUUUGAAAAUUUUUGACCAAUUGAUCUUAUUUUUGUCAUUUUUUUAUACCUUUUUUUCAUGGGUUUGAUAGAAAAAUGGUUUUAUUUUUUGGCACUUCAAUUUGAUGAAAAUACCAAGAAAAUGCAUAAAAAAUGAUGAAAAAAAUACGAACAAACCAGAAUAGGUAAAGAAUUGUUUCAGUCACAUUGAGUCAACCUAAUUGGAGGUUAAAGAAGACCAUUCCCCAUGUUGAACAAAAUCCAUUAAUAGUGGAUGGCGCUUGUGGCACGUGUGGGUACAUCUAGCAUUCAUUCAUUGCUCAUUAAUUACUAUAUGUUAUACACAUGAUUUUAUUAUUUUAUUUUGUGAUAAAAUAUUUUGAUAUGUUGGGAGUCUAAUAAUAGUAAGUAUUCUUCCUAAAUAGGCCUUGAUAUUUAUGUACUCUCAUGUUGAAUUUUAAGUGCAUAAUUGAUUUAGUAAUUAAAAAUUGAUUUUAAAAAAUAUUCAAGAUUCUAGUUUAAAUUUAAUGUACACUGCUUAUAAGACCUAAUUAGAUACAUUUAGGUUUAGUAUCUUAGUUGGGAUAGUCCAUUGCAUACAUUAUGGUUGAGUAUGUAAACUGAGAGUUUUGGGCAAUUAAUGAAAUUUUUCGAUUUGAAAAAAUCUCCAUUAAUUGAUAUUCAUGUUUGGUUGUCAAAGUGGCUCACUUAUUGAAAUUAAUGUAAUGUUUUAUCAUUCUAUGGUUAUGUGAUGGUUAUUAAAUUAUCUUAUGCAAUUGAUUGCCUAAAGGGGGUUAAUGUAUAGGGUAAUUUGUUUUGGAUAUAAAUUAUCAUGGUUGAAGUUGUACCAAUCUACAAAAUCUAUCUGCUCGAAGGGGAUAUGUUUUUUGAAAGCUAGGACAUUUUCAUAUUAGCUUUAUGCGAAAAGUUUCUACUUGCAUAUUACAUUCUUUAUCCAAAAUGGAGUUUGUGGUGAUGCAUCAAGACCUUUCAAUAAUUGUUAGUAUAUCAUGAACUGUUGCUAUAUAUUUUAUGAUAUUGCCUAUUUACUAAUGUUGCAUUUUUGUCUUAAAUGUUGACUUUUAUUGUCAAUAAUAAUAAGCCACUAUUAAAGUUCUUCACGGGUCUAAUUAUAAAAAAUGGAAUGAAGAGUUGAAUUUUGCUUUGGUUAUGAAUGAGAUAGACAUAGCCUUACGUUUUUCAAAGCUUGCUAAUUUUACUGAUGAAAGCAUGGCUGAACAAAAAGAAUUUUUUCCCAAAUGGAAAAAGGCAAAUUGUAUGCAUCUAUAUGUCAUUACUAGGUCUUUUUUUGAAUACCUUUUGAGUGAGUUGGAUACCACAAAAUUGCUAGGGAUCUCUAUCAUACUGUAGGUAAUAAAUAAGAAAAAUCCAAUAAGUGUAAAGCUAAGAACCUUAUGAGUGAGCUUACAAGUAUAAGGUAUGACAGUGUUGAGAGUGUUAAAGAUUUCAUCAUCAGAAUAGUCCAUAUUCAAACCAAAUUGACUUCUCAUGAAAUUGUCCUUCCUGAUAAAUUCAUUGUUCAUCAUGCCCUUAUUACUUACCUUACUUGUUGACUUUACUCAGAUCAAAACUAUCUAUAAUGCUAAGAAUGAGGUUUAAAAUGUUAAUGAUUUUAUUUAAAAGAAUGUCUCUAAGAAAAACUAGAGAAAGAAAAAGGUGACGGUGUUUUUUUGGCUACAUACUCCAAACAUAAUUAAAAAAGAAAUUAUGGAAAAUCUGGAAAAUUUGUUCCUAAUGCUCACAAGAAAGUUUAAGAAAACAAGGGACAAGGUAGUGGUCAGACUAAAAAGGUAAGAGGUUUUAAAGCCGUCAUUAAGAAAGAUGUUAAGUGUUUUUCCUGUAAAAAGAAUGUCAUAUGAAACAUGAGUACCCUAAAUAUCAAGCUUGGUUAAAGAAAAAGAAUAAACAAUAAGGUAACUCACUAGCUCUUAUUUGUUUUAAAUUCUAUUUUGUCAGUGGCCCACCAAACUCCUUAAUAUAUAUUAGGCUAUUUAUCAAGAAAUAUAUAUUUAAAAAAUUAUUUAGUUAUCGAAAACUUUCAAAUUUUAGAUGUAAGUAUUAUGGGAUAUGUAAAUGCCUAUAUAUAUAUAUAUAUAAUUUUUUGACGCAUAAGAAUUUACCACAAAAAAUUAACUUACAUGGAUAUCUACAUGGAUAAUUUUUCAAUUGUUAACAAUAAAAUCUAAUUUAGAUAUAUUUUUAUUAAAAAUAAAUUUCCUAAUAAUAUAAACAUAUUUUUUAAAUUUAAAAAUCUCAAUUGUAAUAAUAUAUUAUCUCUAAAAUGGGUUUAUAAAAUAAUUCUAUUUGAUAAGUUAUUUAAAUUCAAAAUGAAAACCUAUGAAAUAUGAAAAAUUUUGUAUAAAUCUUGAAUUAAAAAAUGUCAAUUCUAGAAUUUUUCUUUUUUUUAAUUUAAUCAUUUUUCAAGAAUAUAUGUGGACCAUAAAUUUUGAAUACAUAUUUCAAUUAAAAUUGAUUAGAUUUGUUUUUUACUAUUUCAAAUUUGAAAGAUAUGUUGUAUUUUUUAAUUCUCUUAUCAUUAGAUUAUUUUAAAAAUUUAAUCCUAGCCACAGUCACCAAUCAUUUUAUCAUUACCAUUGCCAAGUUUGCGUCUAAAUUAGCAAUGAAAGGCAUCGAUGAAAAUUUUUUGUUGUUUCAUUCCAAUCACAAUCACCCAUCAUUUUAUUAUUUGAGAAGAAUCCUAAUUUGUAACUAAAUCACUUAUAUGUUGUGACGUAAUCAAUUUUAUUUGUGUUUCGUUAAAUGAUUUAUAGGUAGAGCUAGAGAUCCAACUGUUUAAGAAAAGAGCUAAGGACAAAGAACUUCUCUUUUAUAUUAAUUGAUCUUUAUAUUAAUGUCGUUUUUUUUUUAAAUUAAGUAGUAAUUUAGUAAUUAAUAUUAUUAUUACAUGUAGGAAAAACCCAAAAAUUAUUUGGGUAUGAGACAUCCUUUGAACUCUAAAGGUCAACACUAAGGAAUGAUUAUCGAUUACAUGUAUAACAACUUCAAGUCUCCUUUUAGGUUUUUUCAUGAUUGGAAAAGUUAACUAUAAAACUAUUUCAUGUAUUAUACAUUUCUGUCAGUUUAGUACUUUAAGAAACAAAAUUAUCAAUUUGGUUCUUGAACUUUCAUUUCGUCAUUUACUUUGAUACUCAAAUUAAAGCAAUUACUCAACUUGCCAACAUGAUAUUAACAUCUAAUAAGAUACUGACAUGUGUCAAAAAGUUUAGUCACUACCAUAUCAUCAAUUACCGCAUCAAUACUAAAAAAAUUCAAAAAAAAUUUAAAAAUCUAAAAUAUUUUUAAAAAUUAGAAAAAUUAAAUAAAUAUGAAAUCCUUUUUAAUUAUAAAAAUAAAAAAAAUAUGAAAACUUAAAAAAUUUCAUAAAAUCUCAAAAUUUUAACAAAAAGUCCAAAAACAAUCCAAAAAAUUCUAACAAAUUAAAAAAAAAAAAAGGUUCACAAAAAAUAAAAAAUCUAGAAUAUUUUGACAAAAUUUGAAAAUUUAAAAAAAAUUAAUUUUUCUUAAAAUCUAAAAUUUUAUAAAAUAUUUUCAAAAAUUAUGAAAAAAUUAAAAUCAUUUCAAAAAUAUGAAAUAUUCUAAGAAAUUUAUUAAAAAUUAAAUUUUUUUUGAAAAAUAUAAAAUAAAAAACUUAAAAUUUUCAUAAAAAUCCAUAAAAAUUUAAAAAAAUGUAAAAAAAUCGCAAAAUUUAUAAAAAAAUUAAAUUUGUGUGAUUAAAAAAAUAAAGAAUUUUCCUAAUUUAUAAAGAUUACAACUAUUUUAAAAUUUUUAGAUUUUUUCAAAAAAGUUUAGAUCUUUUACUUUCAAUUUUUUAAAAUUUUAGAGUUUUUUUUUUAAAUUUAUGAAAACUUUAUGCUUACUAAAAUUAUCAUUUUUACGAAAAUUUGAAAAAAAAUUUUAUUUUUGUAAUAAAAUUUUGAGAUUUUUUUUGAAUUUUUUAAGUUUUAAUAAUUUUUAAAAAAAUUUUAAAAUUUUUUGUUUUUGUUUUUUAAAAUAAUUUUUUAAAAUGCUUAAAUAUUUUUAAAAAAAUUUUAAAAUUUUUUAGAAUUUUUCUUUAAAUUCGGAUGUAAUAUUGAUGAUUUGACGUUGAUUAGAUUUUCUUAGCAUGUGUUAAUAUCUUAUUAAAUAUUUAUACCACGUCAAUAAAUUUACAGAUGGCGUUAGUCUCCGGUAACAAAGUGAUGACAGAAUGAAAAUUAGAGUAACAAACUAAAUAUUUUAUUUUUUUGGUGCCUAAUUGAUAAAAUAUGUAUAAUAAAUGGGCCAUUUUUAUAUUUAACCAUUUUGGAAAGACCAACAUUACCUUAAAAAGUACAUAUUACUUACCUUAUAUAGUUAAAAUUAUAUCAAUUAGUAAUCAAAUUUUUAUUAUUUAUCUUAAAUCAUUCUUAAUUAAAUUAAAUUAUUUAUUUUUAAUAUGCCACUUCAUCAUAAAUACAAAUGAAUAGCCUUCAAUGUGGUAGAGUAUUGGUUUGAAGAUCUAUUUCACAACUUUUAUUUUGUUUUGGUUCUCGUUUUAGUUUUUUUAUUUGAUCCAUUUGUUUGUUUCUUCAUUCUUUCAUUUGUUUUUUAUAACUGAUUUUUUUAUAUUUUUCAAUAAAUCAAAUUUUAAUUUUAAUUCAUAAAUGUUACUUAUUGAUGAAUAAUCAUUAAUAAAACUAUCAUGCAUAUUGCCAAAACCAUACUAAGUUUCUGAAAAGCAAUCAAAUUCUUUGCUUUCUUUACAAUUUUCACUUUUUAGGGAUCUUAUCUAUCCGUGUAAAUUAUACCAAGAUACAAAAGUUCUCAUUCCUUUUAUCAAUUAAGUAAUCAAAUUUAUAAAAUUAAUAACUUGUGAGUAUGGGUAUAUUAUUGACACCUCUAAAUAGCAAUGCUCUCCUUAUUAAUAUGGCAGAUUGGAUACAUCAAGUUCCAAACCAAGUAGAUCAGGAGAGGUUCAAUGUUUUUCUAACAAUUGCUCGGGCUAUUUGAUACUCCAUAAUCAAAUUUUAGGGACAGGAAUGAGAAAUAUGGAAAUUCUUACACUCAAAGGAAUAAUAUAUUCCAAACAAAGGCUUACUAUUUUCUGUAGGUUUUUUUUUUUCUUCAAUCUUUUUUGGAGAUCCCAUUGUUUCUGAGACAGCAAUAUUUUUCUUAUUGGUGUGUAGAGGUCAUGGUUUCGGAGUCAAAACCCCCUACCGCCUAAAAUUUUGUCUUUUUGUUUUAUUAAUUGAAAAAAUGAAACCGUGUCAAAAGGUUACUUUGUAUUUUAAUAGUAUAUAAAUAACCAAGUCUGCCUUCCUUACCCUCAUUCUUAUCUUUUUCUUAUUCUACAACUACUUUUUCCAUUCUUUCUCCUGUCAUAAGCUACAACUACAAUAAAAAAAGCCAUUAAUCUUUGUUUCCAGUUGGGAAAUGGAGUUUGAGCAACCCAUGUUUAGAGAAACAACGGAAGCCCUUAAAUUGAAGGCAGCAAAUGACAGUAAGACUUCAACCAGGGACAGGCAUAAGUCACCAGGAUCAACAUGCGGUUCCUAUGUUUCCAGCAAACACUUCCAUGGCUCGGAAGCAUUCAGGACUCUAGAGAUGGGUGUGCCAAAGGUUGACUCCACCGAGAAAAAGCUGUCUUGGCUACGAUCUCAAAUCAUUGGUGGUGAUGCAGAAUUUGACUCUCCUUUUGGAACUAGAAAACUUACUUACGCUGAUCAUACUGCAUCGGGACGCUCUUUUCACUAUAUCGAAAACUUCAUCGUCACCCAUGUUCUGCCAUGCUACGGUAAAGGUUUUUUUUCUUCUGAUCUUCGAUUGUGAUACUCGGAUUUAAUUAACAAAAGUGAUGGUGUCGUUUUCGAGUAUAAGAUACAUACAUAUAUAUAUAUAUAUGGGGGUUUUAGUAUUUGUCAGCUGAUCUUGGUUGGUUCGUGCGUAGGUAACACUCACACAUCUGACACUUAUGUGGGGCACAGGACGACGAAAAUGGUGCAUGAAGCGUCAAACUACAUUAAAAGAUGCCUAGGCGGGGGUCAAGAUGAUGCAAUUCUGUUUUGUGGCUCAGGCACUACGGCUGCUAUUAAAAGGCUACAAGAAGUUAUGGGGAUUACGGUACCAUCAAUUUUGAGGGACAUGGCAAUAAAUUGCUUACUUAAUGAGUAUCGAUGGGUAGUUUUUAUUGGCCCUUACGAGCACCACUCCAACUUGCUUUCUUUGCGUCAAAGCCUUGCUGAAGUUGUUGAAAUUGGUUUAGAUGAGAUUGGGUUCAUAGACAUUAAAGCACUAAGAAAACAGCUUGAGCUGUAUAAAUAAGCCAAUAGGCCUUUGCUUGGCUCAUUUUCAGCUUGUAGUAAUGUGACUGGGAUUCAAACAGAUACUCGAGAGAUUGCCAAACUUCUUCAUGAGUACGGAGGUUUUGUUUGCUUUGAUUUUGGAGAAAGGUACACAGUAAGAAUUUUCAUUUUUUGUUGUCAAGCUUUUAUAUUCGAGGUUGUCAGAAUUUAAGCUUUGAUUGUUAAAAUUAAAAGUUUAAUACUUUAAUAACAGAUCUCACAAUUAAUUAUUAGCCAAGUUUACGUAUUGUGUUAAUGUUAUAAAGCAAUGAGAAGUCGAUUUUUGAUUGUGCUUAUCAUUUUGUUUUUGUGGAUAGUGGUCCUUAUGUGGAGAUUGAUAUGAGGUCAGGGGAGAUUGAUGGAUAUGAUGCCAUUUUCCUAAGCCCACAUAAGUUUCUAGGUGGCCCUGGAUCGCCCGGCAUCCUUUUAAUGAGCAAGGCUCUCUACCAGCUAGGAUCUUCUCCUCCAUCAACUUGCGGAGGUGGAACUGUUAAUUAUGUCAAUGGUUUCAAUGAACAGGUAAUUACUCUCAAAUUGAAAAUUAAUUGAUAAUAAACGAAGAGAUUUUUAUUAUAUUUAUGUGUUCUGAUUAAUCCAAUUUAAUGGAUGAAUGAUUUUAAUUUUUGUUCACCUCUCCACUAUAAAAUGGAAAUUUGUAUUUUCUUUACCUUUUUUCUUAUUCUUGCUUAUAUAUCCCAUUUUGUAAGAAAUUUGGGUUUCUUUCUUCAACUGAACGGCAUAAAGAAUGAUUAGCUAGCUGUCACGAAUUUUGGAGUUUAGAAAUAAAUUCCUGAUUCAGAUGGAGCUGGUUUAGAUAUAGACUAGUGAAUGAUAAGUGUCCAAAAAUUUUUUUAUUUUAAUUACAAUUUUAGAAGAAAAGAGAUUUCCAACCAAAUUUCUGAAUGCGGGACGGUGUUAAUAGAAAAAUACUCUAGAGAAUGAUAAGUUUUCAUGAUAUUAAUCAGAUUCAUUCCCCAGCAAUUAGGGAAGCAGGUAUGAAAUUUAAUAUGUGGUAAAAUGGGGUAUUUAUUUUGCAGGACACAAUAUAUGUAAGUGACAUAGAAGAAAGGGAAAAUGGUGGGACUGCUCAAAUAAUUCAGAUUAUUAGAGAAGCAUUGAAUUUUUUGGGUAAAAGAAUAUAUUGGUUAUGAAGUGAGUGCAAAGCAGGAGAAGUCGUACAUAAAUCAAGCACUGGGGACGCUUCUCCCAAACCAAAACAUACGGGUUUUAGGAAAUGCAAGCACCGAGACCCAGAGACAAGCCAUACUGUCUUUCCUCAUCUACUCCACAACCAACGAUGGUAACAAUGUUGACGAGGCAGAGGAAAAGGGGAGGGGACUUUUCAUCUGGGGAGAGACUGGGAACAAGAGGGAUAAACCUCUCCAUGGCCCUUUUGUUGCAACCAUCCUAAAUGAUCUGUUUGGCAUCCAUGCUCGAGGUGGGUGUGCUUGUGGUGGACCUUAUGGCCACAGAUUGCUUGAUAUUGAUCAGACUCGAUCCCUUGCGUUCAGAGAAGCUAUUAAAAGGGUAUCAGUACAAAAUUUUCCAUUUUUUUUUUUUUUUACCAAAUGAAAGAGAAGUAAACUAUAAUUGAACUUAUCUAAUGCCAGUUGCAAAGUUUGAUUGCAGGGCUACAUAGGAGCAAAACCUGGAUGGACAAGAGUCAGCUUUCCUUACUACAUGUCAAAUGAGGAGUUUGAAUACAUUCUUGCGGCAUUGGAGUUCGCAGCAAUCUAUGGCCAACGAUUUCUUCCUCUAUACCAUUUCGACCUGAGAACUGGCAGCUGGACUUUCAAGAAGAAGGCGCUUAAGGACCAGGUAGGAAAGGAGAAUAGUCGCGGCAUCCAUGUCUUGGCUUUGGCUAGUGCUUUUCAGACAAUAAGCUUGGACCGUGACAAAAUUGAUGCAGGAAAGAAUGAUACUUCUAUCAUCCUUCAGUAUGCAUCAUAUUUGAAAAGUGCCAAACGAGUCGCUGCUCUCCUUCCCAAGUUUCCAUCUCGAAGGAGGUUUCACGAAGCUUUAGAUCUUAACCUCCUCCCUUUCAGAGUCUACCUAUACUAUCAAAAAUUGAUUCGAGUUCGUAAUCAAAUUUAUCUAUUUUUCCUCACUUCCUUGGAAUAUUCUCACAUAGCAAAAGCAGAAAAUUAAACUAGCUCAAGCCUGUCAUGUUAGCAGACUUUCCAAUUACCUGAAAUCUAUUGCAGUGCCUGACAAAUUGGCUGAUACGUAAUCCAAUCUGGUCAAGACUUGGAUAAUAAUGGUGUCAUGCCCCAAAACUAAGAUGUAACACGGUUAUAUUUUCUUCAAAUAAAACUUUAAAGUAAUACAAAAUAUUUUCUUUUAAUCCCUUUAAAAUUCUUUAAUAAAAAUAAUUUGGCCAAGUAACUAAUGAUACAUCUCUAUAUAUCCAAAGGUGAAUUCAUAAAAUAAAUAUAAAAUCAAUUCAUAAGAUCUCUUUAGCUAACAAUAUUUCUAAUGCCCAAGUAAUAUUUCUAAUUUGAUCUUCUACAUUUUAACAAAGCUAAACAUACUUAUCACUUACUCAUGUGUAAAAAAAGGGUAAAAAGAGAAUGAACAAAUUACAGCUCAGCUAGUAUAAGAUCAUACACUUUAUCAGAUCAAGAUUCGGUUUCAUACAUAUCAUAUAGAUUAUUCAAAACAUUUGUCAAAUAAUAAUAUCAAAAUAUUUCAAAAAUCAAUAUUAUGUCAAUAUUUUGUAGAUCAUAAAUCAAAAUCAAAACAGAUCAAUUCAUAAAUCAUUGCAAAAUAUGUUAUCAUUCAAAUAUCGUAAUCAAAUCAAAUCAUGAAUCAUAUUUUUAAAAUCAUCAUCUCAUAAUCAAUCACUUAUCGUUAGUUUAUCAUUAACUAUUCACUACUAUAAUCUGUAAAAUUAGUUUAUAAAUUUUAUUUCUUAUAUAAUAUAGUACUAUUUAAAGCUAUUGGCCAAGCUUUACGACUAACUACUAUAACCACUAAGGCAUGAUAUGAUAAUGUUAAUACUAUUUGCGUUAGCUAAAGACUAUAACUAGUUCUAGUAUGAUAAUCCAUUAUUCUCAAGAUGAAAAAUAUUAGCUAUUAUAACAUUCAUUAAACAUAUAAUCAUUCUCUUAUUCAGUUUAUAAACUAUUCAUUAUUUUAUAUAGCAAAACGUAAAAUAAUAUACCUCCCCCUAUUUUCUUAUAUCGAAAUAAAGAAAUUAAAAUUUAUUUAUUUAAAAAGCAUACAUAUGCACAUAAGUUUCAAAACAAGCAAAGUUGUGAAAAUUCUACUUAAUUUCCUUUGGUCCAUCACUUAAGUUUUUCCCCAAAAACUAUUAUGGGCUAUUCAAAAUCUUUCAAUAUAAUAGAAAUUAAUCAUCCAUUUCUAAGACCAUUAUACAAAAACAACUAAGUUAUAUAAGGGUUAACUAACUAAUUUUGGUAGAUUUGCGCUACUGUUCCUAAAAAUGACCCUAUCCUUAAAAUAUCCAACUUAAAUUAAGAAUUUUUUUUAGUACGUUAGAAAUUAAACUCAAUAAACUUCUUAACCAUAUAUGGCCCACCUUGUAAUUUUGUGUAGAUUAAUUGUAAUAACUUUUGCAAUUCAUGUCAUAUACUGUUGUCAGAUAGCAUGUAUAUUUUCUAAUAAAAAUUAUAUAUUUAUUCAUAAAAGACUCCAAAUUCAAUUUCUCUUAUUUCAUUGAAAAGUAGACUCAAAAAUAUUUUCAAACAUAUAUGGCCCACCUCGUAAUUUCUUGUGGAUUAAUUGUAAUAAUUUUUGCAAUCCAUGUCAUACGCUACUACCAAACAACAUGUAUAUAUUCUAAUGAAAAUUAUAUAUUUAUUCAUAAUUUCGAUACUACUUUCCUGGUUCUUUCCAUCAUUUGGUUCACAAUAAACAAAAUGAUAUCCAAGUUCUUUAAAAAUCCCUAGAGCUGAUGUUUGUUACUCAAGUUCAUUUGGUUUUAGGACAAUGCACCUAUUCUUCAAUCUUCUUUAUUGAUGUUUGAAGAAAUGAACAAUAAUUGCUGUAAAAUAGCAUAAAAUCAUUAUGCUACACCACUACUCUGUAAUAUAAUCCACCAAUCUAGGUCACCAAUAAAAAGAAUUGAGGAAUUCAAUUCACACUGUAACGUAUUGGUGAAUUCAAACAUACCACUCUAUUGUAAUUUUUUAUUAGCAUGUAUGAUGUCAUGUAUAUGCAAUCAUGCCAAAUAGCCUUUUAAAAAGCUGUUAGAGAAACCCUUCACAAUAUGUAAAUCGUAAAAGCUUAGUACUUGAUUCCAAAACCAAUUACAAAUUAACAAAUAAUAUCAAUAUACAUAGAUAUAAUCUUAUGCCAUGUUUGGUACAUAAGAUUAUGACUUGAUACGGUACAACGUUAUUAUAAAUAGAAUUAGAUUAAAUAAUGUCAUCUAAUUUUGUGUUUGCUCUAUGUAAAGAUUAGGAUAGGAUAAUUUUUUUAUUUGUCAAAAUUAUCCUUGUCGAAAGUUUAUACAAUUUAAAUUAUUAAAGUAAAUUUUAUGAGUAUAAUUGAACUUGUAAGUUUAAUCUUAUAAAUUAAAAAUUAUCCUCUCUACUUUGAAAGGAUUGAAUAAUCCUAUACUAAAAAGAUAUUAAUCCUUAUUGCAAACCUUAUCUUUGUCUUUAGAUACAAAUCAAACUUGAUAUAGGAUGAUUAUCAUCGUAUUUUAUCAAUAAUCAUAUGUAUCAAAUAUAACCUUAGUCUACUAUUUUAGUGGAACCACUCUAACACAAAGAGUCGUCUCUUAUGAAGACCGCUUCAACAUCCAAAUUUUUGUUUAGAAAAUAAUCUUUCCACCACCAUUUCUUUUUAUAUAGUCUUCAUCUUCGCUUUAUAAACUCACCGUUGAUGUCUUAUUAAGAUAUAGAGCAAGAAUUGUUCAUAAGUGAGCUACCAUUAAUAGAUGGUUUUAAUAAUUUAAUAAAAUUGGUUGAUGAGUUUACUCUUAAUAAGAGAUAAGCAUGAGAGUUUAAAUAAUUUAAUGUGAUCACUUAAAUGUAAGAUUUGUACAUCUUACUGGAACAAUUUGGUUUAGAGAUUUUGUAAACCUUUAUCUAGUAAGUGUUUAAUGAUGAGGGUUUAAGGGAUUUCAAUCAAAUAGGUUCAAAUCACUUUUUUUCUUUUACUUUUAUGCAAGUUACGGUUACUGCUCAUUGAAUGUCGCCAGUAAAAGAAGAGUGAAAAGGAAAACCUAGGCACUUUAAGGAUUGUUUCGCUUUGAUAUAUUUAUCAUGACCACCCAAAUAAGUAUGACAAAUCUCUUUAUUUGUUAACAAUGUUCUAAAUAUCAAACAAUGAACUUGGGUUAAUGUUUACGCAUGGUAUUAGAGCUAUCAUUAUGUGAUAUUAGGACCCUAAAAUUAUGAUUUGUAAUUGAUUUUUGAACAAACAACAUAUUUAGGGUGAAAUUAUGUUAUUGUCAAAUUUUUAAAUUUUGAUCUUUAUUUUUCAAAAUUGAUUUAGGAUUUUAGUUCCUCAUUGAAAAAGGAUUAAAAUUAUAUAAAAACCAUUUUCUAAUGCCUUAUAUCAAGAGAGAAAUCAAGGUUGAAAAUUUUUAGGUUUAAGUUUUAAUCUAAAUUCUUGUUUUUAUUAAAACAUCAAACAUUUUAUGUGUUUAAUUCAAAAUUGAUUCUUGAAUCAUGUUUCUCAUGUGUUAUAAAGUUAAAUCAAAGCAUUUAAUUUCAUAUUGUUUUAGAUUAGCCAAACACGAAGAAAACAAAAAGAGGUCUAAUAUGUGUUUAUGUAAUUCAAAAAAUUUUGACCAAUUGAUCUUAUAUUUAUCUUUUUUUAAUACUUUUUUUCAUGGGUUUGAUAGAAAAAUGGUUUUAUUUUUGGGCACUUCAAUUUGAUGAAAAUACCAAGAAAAUACAUAAAAAAUGGUGGAAAAAAUAUGAACUGACCAGAAUAAGUAAAGAAUUGUUCCAGUUGCAUUGAGUCAACCCAUUUGGAGGUUAAAGAAGACCAUUCCCCAUGUUGAAUAAAAUCCAUGCUUAGUGGGUGGCACAUGUGGCACGUGUAGGGGGCUCAUCUAGCAUCCAUUUUUGCUCUAGUUUCUUUUCACAUACUUGGAAUUUUAUUUUAAAUUUUUUCUUAAAAUUUUUAAACUACAUGAAAUAUUUGUUUGACAUUCAUGCAUUGCUUAGUAACUAUUAUAUGUUAUACACAUUAUUUUAUUAUUUUAUUUUAUGAUAAAAUAUUUUAGUAUGUUGGGAGUCUAAUGAUAGUAGGUAUUCUUCCUAAAUAGGUCUUGAUAUUUAUAUACUCUCAAGUUGAAUCUUAAGUGCGUAAUUGAUUUAGUAAUUAAAAAUUGAUUUUUAAAAAAAAUUCAAAACUCUGGUUUUAAUUUAAUGUACACUGCUUAUAAGACCUAAUUAGAUACAUUUAGGUUUAAUAUCUUAGUUGGGAUGGUCCAUUGCAUACAUUAUGGUUGAAUUUGUAAACUGAGAGUUGUGGGCAAUUAAUAAAAUUUUUCGAUUUGAAAAAAUCUUCAUUAAUUGAUAUUAGUGUUUGGUUGUCAAAGUGGAUCACUAUUGAAAUUAAUGUAAUAUUUUAUCAUUUUAUGGUUAUGGGAGGGUUAUUAAAUUAUCUUAUGCAAAUGACUAUCUAAAAGGGGUUAAUGUAUAGGGUAAUUUGUUUUGGAAUAUAAAUCAUCAUGGUUGAAGUUGUACGAAUCUAUAAAAUCUAUCUGCCCAAAAAAGAUAUGUUUUUUGAAAGCUAGGACUUUUCAUAUUAGCUUUAUGCAGAAAGUUCUUACUCAUAUAUUACAUUCUUUAUCCAAAAAGGAGUUUGUGGUGAUGCACUAAGACCUUUCAAUAAUUAUUAGUACAUCAUGAACUAUUGUUAUAUCUUUUACGAUAUUGUCUAUUUACUAAUGUUGCAUUUUUAUCUUAAAUGUUGCCUUUUAUUGUCAAUAACAAUAAGCCACUAUUAAAGUUCUUCACGGGUCUAUUUAUAAAAAAUGAAAUGAAGAUUUGAAUUUUGCUUUGGUUAUGAAUGAGAUAGACAUAGCCUUAUGUUUUUCAAAACCUACUAAUUUUACUAAUGAAAGCAUUGCUGAACAAAUGGAAUUGUUUCUCAAAUGGGAAAAGGCAAAUUGUAUGCAUCUGUAUGUCAUUAAUAGGUCUAUUUUUUAAUACCUUUUGGGUGAGUUAGAUACCACAAAAUUGCUAGGGAUCUCUACCAUGUUGUAGGCAAUAAAUACCAUAAAUCUAAUAAGUGUAAAGCUAAAACCCUUAUGAGUGAGCUUACAAGUAUUAGGUAUGACAAUGUUGGGAGUGUUAGAGAUUUCAUCAUGAGAAUGGUCCACAUUCAAACAAAAUUGACUUCUCAAGAAAUUAUCCUUCCUAAUAAAUUCAUUGUUCAUCAUGCCCUUAAUGCCUUAAUUGUGGGGUUCACUCAGAUCAAAACUGUCUAUAAUGCUAUGAAUGAGGUUUGAAGUGUUGAUGAUCUUAUUUAAAAGUUUGUCUCUAAGAAAGAAAAACUAUAGAAAGAAAAGGGUGAAAGUGUUUUUUUUGCUAUAUACUCCAAAUAUAAUUACAAAAGAAAUUAUGGAAAAUUUGAGAAAUUUCUUCCUAAUGCUCAUAAGAAAGUUCAAGAAAAUAAGGGACAAGGUAGUGGUCAAACUAAAAAGGUAGGAGGUCUUAAAGUUGCCAUUAAGAAAGAUAUCGAGUGUUUUUCUUGUAAAAAGAAUGUCAUAUGAAACAUGAGUACCCUAAAUAUCAAGCUUGGUUAAGGAAAAAGAAUAAACAAGAAGGUAACUCACUAGCUCUCACUUGCUUUAAAUCCUAAUUUGUCAGUGGCCCACUAAAUUCCUAGUAGAUUGAUAGUGGUGCAACUAUUCAUAUUGCUGUUACCUUUGCUAGGAUUAAAAAAAAAAUGAAAGCUAAUUAAGAAAGAAGCUAAACAUAAAGUUUGAAACAAUGUUGAAGUAGCCAUUAAUUAUAUAGGAACAAUAGGCUUAUAUUUAUAAUCUGUUUUUGAACUUAUUUUGGAAAAUGUUUUUCAUCACCUUCAUUUAUGAGGAAUUUGAUUUUAGUUUUUAUUUUGGACAAACAUGGUUAUUAUUUUGGCAUUGGAUAUGGAAAAGUUGACUCGUUUUAAAAUUCAAAUGUUGUUGGUGAAUUUAAACUAAUUGACAAUUUAUACAAACUGUGCUUAGCCUAUAAUAAUUAAUAUAGUUGCAAUAAUGUUGAAAAGAUAGUGACUAAAAAAUCUUUGAGUAAAGAAAAUUCAUUAUUGAUGAAUUUAAACUAAUUGACAAUUUAUAUAAAUCGUGCUUGGCCUAUGAUAAUUAAUAUAGUUGCAAUAAUGUGGAAAAGACAAUGUCUUAAAAAUCUUUAACUAUAGAAAAGUCUUUUGUUGUGGUGUAAAAGGUUGGUCACAUUUCUUAUGAAGAAGUGCAAAAAUUGAUAAAAGAGAGUACUUUAUCUUUCCUUGGUUUUAAAAAGUUAGACACUUGUGUUGAUUGUAUAAAAUAUAUACUAACUAAAACUAAGAAAAAUGAGGCAAUUUAUAAUUUUGACCUUUUGAAAAUUGUGUACACUGAUAAUAGUGGACUUCUUACAUCUAUCUUGUGUUGUAACAAAUAUUUUGUUACUUUUAUUUAUGACUAUUUUCGCUAUGGGUAUCUUUACCUAAUUGAUGAAAAUUGAAAUGCUUUUAAAAAAUUUAAAAAUUUUAAACUGAGGUCAAGAAAUAAUUAGGAAAAGUUAUCAAAGUCAUUAGCUCUAAGGUGGUGAGUAUUAUGGUAGAUAUUGUGAAACUAGAUAACAUAUGAGACCAUUUUCUAAAUAUUUACAAGAAUGUCAAAUUUUCCUUAAUAUGCUAUGCUUGGUAGUCUUGAACAUAAUGGUGUGGUCGAAAGGUAAAAUCACACCCUUAAGGAUAUGAUAAAGAGCUUAUAUGCAGGACUAAUCUUCUUAAGUCUUUUUAGGGUAAAGCUAUUAAAAUCGCCUUGUAUAUACUUAAUAGAGUACCUAGCAAAUCUGUUCCUAAAACACCUUUUGAAUUGUAGACUGGUAGGAAACCCCAAUUGAACCAUUCUAAAUUUUGUGGACGUCUUAUAGAAGUUGGAAUCUAUAAUCUUUUGAAAGAAAGAUUGAACCUAGGAAUACUCAUUGCUUUUCUUUAAAGUAUUUAGAUCGCUUCAAGGGAUAUAAGUUUUAUUAUCCUGUACGUGGAACUAAGUUUGUAGAGUCACAUGUGGCAAAGUUUUUGGAACUAAAUGUUGCUGAUAAGAGUGUGAUAGAGGCUAUGGAUAAUCGUGAAUCUAUUAGACAUAUUUCUAUCACUUUACAUAUAAUACAGUGCCAUAUUAUGCUAGUGGCCAUUGAAUGAAGAGAUCGAGGCAAUAGGACAUAAACCUUUUCCUACUAAUGUACUUCAAGUUCAAAAGAACGAUAUUAAAAUACCUUUUAGGAGAUCUUCUAAACAAAGAAGAUCCUCCAUCUCUAAUGAUUAUGUAAUUUAUCAUUGAAAGAGUGACUAUGACAUUAGUCAUGUUGUUAACCUUGUGACUUUUGGGGAAACUAUUAGCAGUCUAUAAUUUAAUGUAUGGAUGGAUGCAAUAAAAAAUGAGAUAAAUUUUAUGUCUCAAAAUGGUGCUUAGGAGCUUGCUAAACUACUAAAAAAGUAUAAAUCCAUUGGUUGUAAAUGGGUGUAUAAAACCAAGAAAGGUUCUAAGGGAAAUUUGAGAUAUUUAAAGUUAAAUUGGUGGCAAAGUGAUUUAUUUAGAGGGAAAUAGUAGAUUAUAAUGAAAUGUUUUUACCGAUGUCUUCCAAAAAUUCCUUUAGGAUUGUUAUAGCCUUAGUAGUACACUUUAACUUGAAGCUUUGUUAGAUUAAUGUAAAGACGGCUUUUCUCAAUGGUGAUUUUAGAGAAAAUGUUUAUAUGGUGCAACCUAAAAGAUUUCAAGAAUUUGAAAAGAAGCAUUUAGUAAGUUGACUUAAAAAGUCAAUUUAUGCCUUUAAAUAAGCUUCUAAGUAGAGGUAUCUAAAAUUUGAUAAGAUAGUUACUUCCUUUGGUUUUGAGAAACAUAAAGUUGAUCAAUAAAUAUAUCUUAAAAUCAAGGGGAGUAAAUAUAUCUUUCUUGUGUUAUAUGUGGAUGACAUCUUACAGGCUUGUAAUGAUAUUGGUUUGUUACAUGAAAUUGAGCAGCUAUUAUCUAAGACUUUGGAUAUGAAAAACCUUAAGAAUGCAUCCUUUCUUCUUGAGAUUGAAAUUCAUAGAGAUAGGUCUCAAAAUUUGUUGGGACUAUCGUAAAGGUCUUAUAUUAAUCGUGUGCUUAGUAAAUUUAACAUUCAAAGCUGUAAGGCUAGGAAUGCACUAAUUGUGAAAGGUAAUAGACUUAAUCUUAGUUAACGCCCAAAGAAUGAUUUGGAGAAAGAAUCCAUGAAGAACAUACUAUAUUCUAGUGUAGUUGGGAGUCUCAUGUAUGUUUAAGUUUGCACUAGGCUAGAUAUUGCUUUUGCAAAGUGAGUUCUUGAGAGAUAUCUUUCAAACCCUAUUAUGGAUCACUGGGUUGCUAUUAAGAAAGUGAUUAGGUACUUGUAAAAGACAAAAAGCCAUAUGUUGGUAUGCAAAAAGGUGGACAAUCUUGAGAUAGUAGGGUAUAUAAAUUCUAACUUCACUAGUUGUUAGGAUGACAUGAAGUCCACUCCAGGGUAUUUUUUUCAUGUCGGCUAGAAGAGCUUUGUCUUGGAAACGUGUGAAACAAACACUCUUAGUUUUUUCCACUAUGCAAGUUGAGUUUGUUGCAUGCUAUAGAGCUAUUACAUAGGCAAUUUGGCUUAUGAAUUUUGUGUCAGGUCUUUGUAUUAUUAAUUCCAUCUCUAGACCUUUAAAGAUUUAUUAGGAUAAUAGGUCUGCUGUGUUGUUUUCUACGAACAACAAGAGCACUAUUGCUUUAAACGUUUGGAGAUAAUAUAUUUUAAAGUUAAGAAUUUUAUGAAAAAUGGUAAGAUUGUUGUCAAACACAUUAAGACUAACAACAUGAUUGUUGAUCCUUAGACUAAGGGAAUAAGACCUAUAGUAUUUGGUAAACAUAUUGAGAAAAUAGGUAUUUUGGGGUCUUUUGAUGUAAUUUAUUAUUAAUAGUAUAUCAUUUGUAUUUCAUACUCACAAAUCACAGUUUGUCUCUAUAUUGGACUUUUUCCUUUAUGCUUGGAAUAUCUAUGUGAUAUUUAAUUCUAUGCUUGAAUGAUGAGAAUUGUUGGUUGACAUUUUAUGUUGUUAUUUUACUUUGUUAGUAUAUGCACACAUGGAAAAUUAAAGUUUAUUAUAUACAUUGUGAAAUCUUAAGACUUGGGGUCUGUGUUAAGUAUGACUAUUUUUAUCACUUGGAUAACUAAUAAUCUUUUAAAUAUAUAUAAUAUAUAUUAUAUUACAGGAUAUAUUGUUACAUGAUAAGGUUUGCUUACAUUGAUGGUUUUUCUUUUUGACAUGUGAUAAAAUUCUUAAAAUUUCUCUAUAAUGACAUAUAAGACAUUUCUUAAUUUUAGGCUAUUUAUCAAUAAAUAUAUAUUUAAAAAAUUAUUUAGUUAUCGAAAACUUUCAAAUUUUAGAUGUAAGUAUUAUGGGAUAUGUAAAUGCCUAUACAUAUAUAUAUAUAUAUAUCAUUUUUUGACACAUAAGAAUUUACCACAAAAAAUUAACUUAUAUGGAUAUCUACUUGGAUAAUUUUUAAAUUGUUAACAAUAAAAUCUAAUUUAGAUAUAUUUUUAUUAAAAAUAAAUUUCCUAAUAAUAUAAACAUAUUUUUUAAAUUUAAAAAUCUCAAUUGUAAUAAUAUAUUAUCUCUAAAAUGGGUUUAUAAAAUAAUUCUAUUUGAUAAAUUAUUUAAAUUCAAAAUGAAAACCUAUCAAACAUGAAAAUGUUUGUAUAAAUCUUGAAUUAAAAAAUGUCAAUUCUAGAAUUUUUCUUUUUUUUUUUAAUUUAAUCAUUUUUCAAGAAUAUAUAUGGACCAUAAAUUUUGAAUAUAUAUUUCAAUUAAAAUUGAUUAGAUUUUUUUUUACUAUUUCAAAUUUGAAAGAUAUGUUGUAUUUUUUAAUUCUCUUAUCAUUAGAUUAUUUUAAAAAUUUAAUUCCAGCCAUAGUCACUAAUCAUUUUUUCAUUACCAUUGUCAAGCCUGCGUCUAAAAUAGCAAUCGAUGAAAAUUUUUUAUUGUUUCAUUCCAAUCACAAUCACCCAUCACUUUAUUGUUUGAGAAGAAUCAUAAUUUGUAACUAAAUCACUUAUAUGUUGUGACGUAAUCAAUUGAUUUGUGCUUCGUUAAAUGAUUUAUUGGUAGAACUAGAGAUACAACUGUUUAAGGAAAGAGCUAAGGACAAAAAAACUUCUCUUUUAUAUAUAUUUAUUUUUAUAUUAAUGUCAUUUUUUUUUCAAAUUAAGCAGUAAUUUGGUAAUUAAUAUUAUUAUUACAUAUAGGAAAAACCCAAAAAUUAUUUGGGUACGAGACAUUCCUUGAACUCUAAAGGUCAACACUAAGGAAUGAUUAUCGAUUACAUGUAUAACAAUUUCAAAGUUUGACGCUUCAUGCACCAUUUUCGUCGUCCUGUGCCCCACCUAACUGUCAGACGUGUGAGUGUUACCUACGCACGAACCAACCAAGAUUAGCUGACAAAUACUAAAACCCAAUAUAUAUAUAUGUAUAUAUAUAUAUAUAUAUAUCUUAUACUCGAAAAUGACACCAUCACUUUUGUUGAUUAAAUCAGAGUAUCACAAUUGAAGAUCAGAAGAAAAAAAACCUUUACCGUAGAAUGGCAGAACAUUGGUGACGAUGAAGUUUUCGAUAUAGUGAAAAGAGCGACCCGAUGCAGUAUGAUCAGCAUAAGUAAGUUUUCUAGUUCCAAAAGGAGAGUCAAAUUCUGCAUCACCACCAGUGAUUUGAGAUCGUAGCCAAGACAGCUUUUUCUCGGUGGAGUCAACCUUUGGCACACCCAUCUCUAGAGCCCUGAAUGAUUCCGAGCCAUGGAAGAGUUUGCUGGAAACAUAGGAACGGCAUGUUGAUCCUGGCGACUUAUGCCUGUCCCUGGUUGAAGUCUUACUAUCAUUUGCUGCCUUCAAUUUCAGGGCUUCCGUUGUUUCUCUAAACAUGGGUUGCUCAAACUCCAUUUCCCACCUGGAAACAAAGAUUAGUGGCUGUUUUUAUUGUUGUUGUAGCUUAUGACAGGAGAAAGAAUGGAAAAAGUAGUUGUAGAAAAAGAAAAAGAUAAGAAUGAGGGUAAGGAAGGCAGACUUGGUUAUUUAUAUACUAUUAAAAUACAAAGUAACCUUUUGACACGGUUUCAUUUUUUUAAUUAAUAAAACAAAAAGACAACGUUUUAGGCGGGAGGGGGGUUGGACUCCGAAACCAUGGCCUCUACACACCAAUAAGAAAAAUAUUGCUGUCUCAGAAACAAUGGGAUCUCUAAAAAAGAUUGUAAAAAAAAAAAAAAACCUACAGAAAAUAGUAAGCCUAUGUUUGGAAUAUAUUAUUCCUUGGAGUGUAAGAAUUUCCAUAUUUCUCAUUCCUCUCCCUAAAAGUUGGUUAUGGAGUAUCAAAUAGCCCAAGCAAUUGUUAGAAAAACAUUGAACCUUUCCUGAUCUACUUGGUUUGGAACUUGAUGUAUCCAAUCUGCCAUAUUAAUAAGGAGAGCAUUGCUAUUUAGAGGUGUCAAUAAUAUACCCGUACUCACAAGUUAUUCAUUUUGUAAAUUUGAUGACUUAAUUGAUAAAAAGAAUGAGAACUUUUGUUUUUCGGUAUAAUUUGCACGGGUAGAUAUGAUCUAAAAAAGUAGAAAGUGUAAAGAAAGCAAAGAAUUUGAUUGCUUUUCAGAAACUUAGUAUGAUUUUGGCAAUAUGCAUGAUAAUUUUAUUAAUGAUUAUUCAUCAAUAAGUAACAUUUAUGAAUUAAAAUUAAAUUUUGAUUUAUUGAAAAAGUAUAAAAAAAUCAGUUAUAAAAAAAAAUGAAAGAAUGAAGAAACAAACAGAUGGAUCAAAAAAUAAAUAAAUAAAAAGAGAACCAAAACAAAAUAAAAGUAGUGAAAUAGAUCUUCAAACCAAUACUCCCCCACACUAAAGGCUAUUCAUUUGUAUUUAUGAUGAAGUGGCAUAUUAAAAAUAAAUAAUUUAAUUUAAUUAAGAAUUAUUUAAGAUAAAUAAUAAAAAUUUGAUUACUAAUUGAUAUAAUUUUAACUAUAUAAGGUAAGUAAUACUUACUCUUUAAGGUAAUGUUGGUAUUUUCAAAAUGGUUAAAUAUAAAAAUAACCCAUUUAUUAUACAUUUUUUUAUCAAUUUGGCACCAAAAACAUAAAAUAUUUAGUUUGGUGCUCUAAUUUUCAUUCUAUCAUCACUUUGUUACCAGAGUCUAACACCAUUAGUAAUUUAAUUAACGUGGUAUAAAUAUAUAAUAAGAUAUUAAAACAUGUCAAUAAAAUCUAAUCAAUGUCAAAUCAUCAAUAUUACAUCCGAAUUUAAAAAAAAUUCCAAAAAAUUUAAGCAUUUUAAAAAACUAAAACUAAAAAAUUUAAAAUUUUUUAAAAAUUAUUAAAACUUAAAAAAUUCAAAAAAAUCUAAAAAUUUUAUUAUAAGAAUUAAUUUUUUUUUGAAAUUGUCAUAAAAAUGAUAAUUUUAGUAAACAUAAAGUUUUCAUAAAAUUUAAAAAAAAUCUCUAAAACUUAAAGAAUUUGAAAGUAAAAGAUCUAAAAUUUUUUAAAAAAAUAAAAAAAAUUUAAAAUAAUUGUAAUUUUUGUAAAUUAGGAAAAUUCUUCUUUUUUUAAGUCUUACAGUUUUAAUUUUUUGUAUAUAUUUUGUGAUUUUUUUACAUUUUUUAAAUGUUAAUGGAUUUUUAUUAAAAUUUUAAGUUUUUUAUUUUAUAUUUUUCCAAAAAAAUUUAAUUUUGAGUAAACUUCUUCAAAUAUUUCAUAUUUUUGAAAUUUUUUUAAUUUUCUCAAAAUUUUUGAAAAUAUUUUAUAAAAUUUUAGAUUUUAAUAAAAUUAGAUUUUUUUUUAUUUUCAAAUUUUGUCAAAAAAUUCUAGAUUUUUUUAAUUUUUGUGAACCUUUUUUUUAAUUUCUUAGAAUUUUUUCGAUUUUCUGUUAAAAUUUUGAGAUUUUAUGAAUUUUUUUAAGUUUUCAUAUUCUUUUAACUUUUAUAAUUAAAAAAGAUUUCAUAUUUAUUUAAUUUUUCAAAAUUUUAAAAUAUUGAUGCAAUAAUUGAUGAUGUGACACUAACUCAACUUUUUUACUAAUGUCAUAUCUUUUUAGAUGUUAAUGUCAUGUUAAUAAAUUGAGUAAUUGCUUUAGUCUGAGGUGUCAAAGUAAAUGACAAAAUGAAAAUUCAAGAACCAAAUUGAUAAUUUUGUUUCUUAAAAUACCAAACUGACAGAAAGUAUAUAGUACAUGAAAUAUUUUUAUAUUUAACAUUUCCAAACACCAAAAAACCUGAAAAGAGACUUACAUUAAAAGAUGCCUAGGUAGCGGUCAAGAUGAUGCAAUUCUGUUUUGUGGCUCAGGCACUACGGCAGCUAUUAAAAGGCUACAAGAAGUUAUGGCGAUUACGGUACCAUCAAUUUUGAGGGACAUGGUAAUAAAUUACUUAAUGAGUAUCGAUGGGUAGUUUUUAUUGGCCCUUACGAGCACCACUCCAACUUGCUUUCUUGGCAUCAAAGCCUUGCUGAAGUUGUUGAGAUUGUUUGGAUGAGAAUGGGUUCAUAGACAUUGAAGCACUAAGAAAACAGCUUGAGCUGUAUAAAUACACCAAUAGGCCUUUGCUUGGCUCAUUUUCAGCUUUUAGUAAUGUGACUGGGAUUCAAACAGAUACUCGAGAGAUUGCCAAACUUCUUCAUGAGUACGGAGGUUUUGUUUGCUUUGAUUUUGCAGGCAAGGUAAACAGUAAGAAUUUUCAUUUUUUGUUGUCAAGCUUUUAUAUUCGAGGUUGUCAGAAUUUAAACUUUGAUUGUUAAAAUUAAAACUUUAAUAUUUUAAUAACAGCUCUCACAAUUAAUUAUUAGCCAAGUUUAUGUAUUAUGUUAAUAUUAUAAAGCAAUGAGAAGUUGAUUUUUUAUUGUGCUUAUCAUUUUAUUUUUGUGGAUAGUGGUCCUUAUAUGGAGAUUGAUAUUAGGUCAGGGGAGAUUGAUGGAUAUGAUGCCAUUUUCCUAAGCCCACAUAAGUUUCUAGGUGACCCUGGAUCGCCCGGUAUCCUUUUAAUGAGCAAGGCUCUCUACCAGCAAGGAUCUUCUCCUCCAUCAACUUGCGGAGGUGGAACAGUUAAUUAUAUCAAUGGUUUCAAUGAACAGGUAAUUACUCUCAAAUUUAAAAUUAAUUGAUAAUAAAUGAAGAUAUUUUUAUUAUAUUUAUGUGUUCAGAUUAAUUCAAUUUAAUAGAUAAAAGAUUUUAUUUUUUGUUCACCUCUCUACAAUAAAAUGGAAAAUUUUAUUUUCUUUACCUUUUUCUUAUUCUUGCUUAUAUAUCCCAUUUUGUGAGAAAUUUGGUUUCUUUCUUCAACUGGACGACAUAAAGAAUGAUUAGGUAGCUGUCAGGCUUUUGGGAGUUUAGAAAUAAAUUCCUGAUUCAGAUGGAGCGGGUUUAGACAUAGACUAGCGAAUGAUAAGUGUCUCUAAAAAAUUUUUUAUUUCAAUUACAAUUUUAGAAGAACAGAGAUUUCCAACCAAAUUUCUGAAUGCACGACAGUGUCAAUAGAAAAAUACUCUAGAGAAUGAUAAGUUAUCAUGAUAUUAAUCGGAUUCGUUCCCCAGCAUUUAGGGAAGCAGGUAUGCAAUUUAAUAUGUGGUAAAAUGGGGAAUUUAUUUUGCAGGACACAAUAUACGUAAGUCAUAUGGAAGAAAGGGAAACUGGAGGGACUCCCCAAAUAAUUCAGAUUAUUAGAGCAGCAUUGACAUUUUGGGUAAAAGAAUAUAUUGGUUAUGAAGUGAUUGCAAACCAGGAAGAAGUCGUACAUAAAUCAAGCAUUGGAAAGGCUUCUCCCAAACCAAAACAUAAGGGUUUUAGGAAAUGCAAGCACCGAGACCCAGAGACAAGCCAUACUGUCUUUCCUCAUCUACUCCACAACCAACGAUGGUAACAAUGUUGACGAGGCAGAGGAAAAGGGGAGGGGACUUUUCAUGUGGGGAGAGACUGGGAACAAGAGGGAUAAACCUCUCCAUGGCCCUUUUGUUGCAACCAUCCUAAAUGAUCUGUUUGGCAUCCAAGCUCGAGGUGGGUGUGCUUGUGCUGGACCUUAUGGCCACAGUUUGCUUGAUAUUGAUCAGACUCGAUCCCUUGCGCUCAGAGAAGCUAUUAAAAGGGCAUCAGCUCAAAAUUUUCAAUUUUUUUUUUGACCAAAUGAAAGAGAAGUAAAAUAUAAUUCAACUUAUCUAAUGCCAGUUGCAAAGUUUGAUUACAGGGCUACAUAGUAGGAAAACCUGGAUGGACAAGAGUCAGCUUUCCUUACUACAUGUCAAAUGAGGAGUUUGAAUACAUUCCUGCGGCAUUGGAGUUCGUAGCCAUCUAUGGCCAACGAUUUCUUCCUCUAUACCAUUUCAACCUGAGAACUGGUAGCUGGACUUUCAAGAAGAAGGCACUUAAGGACUUGGUAGGAAAGGAGAAUAGUCACGGCAUCCAUGUCUUGCCUUUGGCUAGUGCUUUCCAGACAAUAAGCUUGGACCGUGACAAAAUUGAUGCAGGAAAGAAUGAUAGCUCUAUCAUCCUUCAGUAUGCAUCAUAUUUGAAAAGUGCCAAACCAGUCGCUGCUCUCCUUCCCAAGUUUCCAUCUCGAAGGAGGUUUCACGAAGAUUUAGAUCUUAACCUCCUCCCUUUUAGAGUCUAACUAUACUAUCAAAAAUUGAUUCGAGUUCAUAAUCAAAUUUAUCUAUUUUUCCACACUUCAUUGGAAUAUUCUCACAAAGCAAAAGCAAAAAAUUAAACUAGCUCAAGCCUGUCAUGUUAGCAGACUUUCCAAUUACCUGAAAUCUGUUGUAGUGCCUGACAAAUUGGCUGAUACAUAAUCCAAUCUGGUCAAGACUUGUGUAAUAAUGGUGUCAUGCCCCAAAACUAAGACGUAACACGGUUAUAUUGUCUUCAAAUAAAACUUUAAAGUAAUACAAAAUAUUUCUUUUUAAUCAUUUUAAAAUUAUUUAAUAAAAAUAAUUUGCCCAAGUAAAAUUCAUAAAUUUAAUCUAACUAAUGAUACAUCUCUAUAUAUCUAAAGGUGAAUUAAUAAAAAAAUUAUAAAAUCAUUUCAUAAGAUCUCACUAGCUAACAAUAUUUCUAAUGCCCAAGUAAUAUUUUCAAUUUGAUCUUCUAGCUUUUAACAAGACUAAACAUACUUAUCACUUACUCAUGUGUAAAGAAAAGGUAAAAAGAGAAUGAAUAAAUUACAGCUCAGCUAGUAUAGGAUCAUUCACUUUAUCGGAUCAAGCAUCGAUUUCAUACAUAUCAUAUAGAUGUUGGAAAAAAACAACACCCACGUACAGCAACCACACACAAAAUAACAAGCUCAAAUCAAGAAUAAAAAUACACAAAUAUAUUUGGUUCGGCCCAACUCAAAAUGGCCUACUCCAAACCAAAUCCACUAUCAAAUAAAUCUUUACAAUUGUGAGACUUUUAGAAUGAGAAAAGUCUCCUAAAACUCCUUACUCAAAACUUAACCCAAAACCCAAUUACACCCUUUAAUAGCCUACUCACUUAGCUAUUCUCUUGGUGUCUAACUCUUUGGGGUUACUAAACUAAAACCAAAACAUCUUAUUUAUAAGGAUGAAACCCUUUAUACCUUUACUAAACUCCCGAUGUGGGAUACAAAAAGAUUAUUCAAAACAUUUUUCAAAUAAUAAUGUCAAAAUAUUUCAAAAUUCAAAAUCAAAACAGAUCAAUUAAUAAAUCAUUGCAAAAUAUGUUGCCAUUCAAAUAUCGUAAUUAAAUCAAAUCAUGAAUCAAUCUUUAAAAUCAUCAUCAUCAUAAAUCAUCAUUAUCAUUAGUUUAUCAUUAACUAUGGUCACUACUAUAAUCUGUAAUAUUGACCGUAUCGAUAAUUUUAUCUUUAUGAUCAUUACUAACUAUUAUAACCUGUUGGCCAGAGCUUUACGCUAACUACGAUAACCGUUAGCAUGACCAUAUGAUCAUGACUAUUAACUACUAUAAUCUGUUAGCUAGGGUCGUAUAACUAGUUUUGAUACCGAUAAUCCACGUCUCAAAAUGUAAAAUAUGUAGCUAUUAUAAAAUCAUUCAUUAAAAAUAAAUCAAUUUCUCAUUUCAUUUAUAAACAUGAUCCAUCAUUUAUAUAGCAAAACAUAAAAUAAUCAUAAAGCUCACCCCAUUUUCUUAUAUCGAAAAUAAAGAAAUAAAUUUCAUUUAUUUAGAAACAUACAUAUAUACAUAAGUUUCAAAACAAGUAAACUGUGUAAGAUUUUACUUAUUUUCUUUCAAUUUCACCACUUAGUUUUUCCCCCAAAAUAGUUAAUGAGCUAUUAAAAAUCAUUUCAAUAUAACAAAAAUUAAUCAAUCCUUUUUAAGACCAUUAAUACUAAAAACAACCAAGUUAUAUAAGGGUUAACUAACUAAUUUUGGUAGCCUGCACUACUUGCACUAAAAUGACCCUAUCUUAAGAUAUCCAACUCAAAAUUAAGUUUUUUUUAGUACGUUAGAAAUUAAACUCAAUAAAAUUUUUAACCAUAUAUGGCCCACCUCAUAAUUUCUUCUAGAUUAAUUGUAAUAACUUUUGCAAUCCAUGUCAUAUGCUACUAUCAGAUAGUAUGUAUAUUUUCAAAUAAAAAUUAUAUAUUUAUUCAUAAAAGACUCCAUAUUCAUUUGUGCUUGUUUCAUCGAAAAUUAGACUCAAAAACCUUUUCAAACAUAUAUGGCCCGUAAUUUCUUGUAGAUUAAUUGUAAUAAUUUUUGCAAUCCAUGUCAUAUUUUGCAGCCAAAUAGCAUUUAUAUAUUCUAAUCAAAAUUAUAUAUUUAUUCAUAAAAGACUCCAAAUUCAAUUCCACUUAUUUCAUUGGAAUGUGGACUCAAUAACCUUUUCAAACAUGUAUGGCUUUGUUCUUUAAUUCAUUGUAUAAAAAUUAAGAGAAAUUUUGUAAUUUCUCAUCGCUGCUGCUGUCAGAAUGCCUAUAUAUCAUUAAGUAAAAAUUAGACAACUCUUAACAGAAAACUCAGAUUUGACUUACAUUUGUUUCAUUGAAAAGUAGAUUCAGCAAGCUUUCUGUUAGCCUUGAAUUGAUCCUUAUUUUAAAAUGACAAAAAAUUAAAGCUAAAUAAACUUCAUCAAGAUUUUGAAAAAGGAUUUAUUUAGUACAUGUUCUUAAGUUUUAUAUUUUGGUACUAAAUAAAUAAUACAAUUUUCAAAGUUUAAACAAACCUUUCUUGGUGUCAUAUUUCUCAAACCAAAUCUAUCUUUAAAGAUUAUUUAUUUGAGCUUAAAUGAAAGUCCAAUUGUUGUUUGUAAAGUGAAAUUAUUCAUUUUGGACUUAAUACAAUUUGAUAAUAUUGGUUUUGAGAAAUAGAUUAACUUAAGAAAGCUAUUUUACAAUAACAAAGUUUUCCAACAUUGAACUUGUUUUUUUUUUUUUUGUAUUAAUUCACAAAGUCGUAAUAUUUGAAUUUUAUAUGGUUGGAAAGCUCUUUGAGUCUAUUUCUAAUGGAUUAAAUAAAACCAAAAUCCAAAUUUUCUAAGAAAAGAUUUUGAAUUUUUACUAGACACUCUACAGUUGUCAGAAAAACUGCACAAUGAGUAAUUUUGAAAAUUCACUAUAAUUCGUACAUAGCGAAUUAGGUGAUGAACUUUAUAUGGAUAGAAAUAACUUUAAGUCUAGUUUCUAAAUCUUCAAACGGUUUGUGAUUUGGAUUUGUAUAACUCAAGAUAUGAUCAAAUUAGUGAGUAGAGUGCAGAAUAGGAGAUAACCACCCAACCACUGACAGGAUCGAUCCCCUCAUGGACGGGAUCGAUCGGUUCUAGGAGAAAACACUCUAACGGCUACUUUUUGGUGUUUCCAAUGGCUAUUUUCUUCUCCCAAACACUUGCAAUGACUAUUUUCUUCUCCCAAACACUUUCAAUGACUAUUUUCUUCUCUCAAACACUUCUAACGGCUACCUCUUCAAUUUCUCUAUAAAUUGGGCACUCCAACACACCAAGAAGAUUGAUGAAUCAAGAGAGCAAGAGCCAAUAAACUACAUUUUCAUUCUCUCAAAGAAUCAAUAGUUUUUAGAGCUUCAAAGUCCAUAUCUUUGUAUUUAUUGUAUCCAAUUUUUAUUUGUUGUUCAUUCAUCAUUUUCUUGUACUUAAACAUAGCAAACAUUUAGCCUUAGAAAGAUUGUUCUAUUGUUUGCAAAAUUACCUUUGAUAAACAAGGGUGGAAGAGAACAAGAGGUGAGGUAUCUCUUGAGAGCUUUGUAGUGAGAUAGGGUAAAAUACUAAAAAGGGUAGAGGUUUCUAUCUUAAGCCUUAGAAAGAAAAAGAUAAGUUGUAUUUUUAAUUCAAGAAUAGUGGAUUGAAGCCUUGGUGUGAACAACCAAGAAGAGAGGACGUAGGUGCCUUGUGAAGAAGGAUCGAACCUCUAUAAAUCAUUGUAUUCGAUUUCUCUAUCCCUAUCUCCUUACAAUUUAUUGUUGUUUAUAUUUGAUUUUAGAUUCGUUAAUUGUUAUUGUUUGCAUUAUAUUUUCAUCAAAAGUGCUUAUUGUUUUAAUUUCCAUUCAACUAUAUUGAAAUUAUUUGUUUGGGAAGAAUUUGAAGAAAUCCAAUUCAACCCCCCAUCUUGGAUCACCAUCUAACCUAUAAAGCUAACAAUUGGUAUCAUAGCUUUGGUCUCUUUUUGUAGGUUUAACCACCUUGAGAAAAGAUCUUAUGGCUCAAUUUUGGUUCCAAGAUGGUGAGGAAGUCCUUAAAGCUCCUAUGAUUGAUAAAUUUGAAUUUUGUGAAUGGAGAAGGAGGAUGAAGGUGUUCAUUAUGGCCCAAGAUUUUAGAGUUUGGAAUGUGAUUGAAAAAGGACUUGGAACUCCUUCAAAUGAUGUAAAAUACAUGAGGUAAGUGAUGGAUGAUGCUAAGGCCAAGUACUUACUGUAUGGAGCUCUUGACUCCCACAAAUUCAACUUGGUAUCAAAGUGUUCAAACUCAAAUGAGAUAUGGAGAAAGUUGGAUGAGCUACAUGAAAGACAAAUUUCCAACCAACAUCCAACAUGUCUCAUGGCUAUUGAGGAACCAAAGGUAACCUCUAACUCUUGUGAUUCAAACUCUUGUACUUUUGAUGAGUUACAAGAUGCUUACAAUGAUUUAGUAAUUGAGUUUGAAAAUAUGCAUUUGAAACAUAAGAAAAUGAUUCAAAAUUGAAAGUUGAAAAUGAUCUUUUGAUGAAUGCAAAAAAUGUUUUAGAAAAAGAAAAUGAAAAGUUGAAAAUAGAUUUAAAAACCUCUCUAAGUAGAAAUGAAUUUUUAGAAAAAGAAAAUUUUUAUUUGAAAAAGAAAUUUGAUGAUUUGAUGAAUGAAAAACAAAAUCUUUUAAAGAAUUCAUUUAGUACUAAAAUGAUUAAAUGUAAUUUUUGAAAUUUUCAUGGUCAUACUACACAUACUUGUCCUAUUAGAAGAAAAGUCCUAUUUAGAAUUAGGCAAGUAUGGGUUCCAAAAGGAACAAGAGACUUGGUGACUAACUCUCAAGGACCCAAAGCAAUUUGGGUACCAAAAAUAAAAUGAAAUUGUCUCUUGUAGGUGUGCUAUAGCAAGGAGCCACAAUGUGAGAAUGAAGAUUGAAUACUCUAGACACACAAUGGAGAUGGGUAACCUCUAAACUUUUAUUUGAAGAGAAUUUGAAUGUGGUUACCUAUUUUUAAUGAAAUUUAAAUGCUUGAUUGAUUAUGCAAAAUUUGGUUAACAUUGAUUACAAGACAUAUGUUGCAUAAUCUUGAAAAAAUGUGAGCUUGCAUUCAAUAUGCAUUUAUUUUGCUCUUAAGUAUGUUUGAAAUGCUUGUUGAAAUUGUUUGUGGUGUUAAAUUGCUAGAGCAUACUUUUGUUGAUAAAUUUUUUAUUGAUUUGUGAUUGUUAAACAUGCUUAUAUGACCAUGAUGUUUAAAAUUACCUAAUUUGUUUAUAAUGCUUGAAUCUUGUGAUAUAUUAUUUAAACUUGAUUGUUAUAUUCUAAAUUGUUAUAACUCUUGAUUUAUGAAUUUAUGAACAUCUUGUGCUUAAAUUAUAAAUAUUGUUGUUUGAUUGUUCAUAUUUUGAUUUCUUAUGAUAUAAUCUUGAAAUAUGCUUUAAUUCUUUAUCCUUAUUAAUUCAAGAUUUAUUUCUUCUCUUGUGUUGAUGAAUUGAUGAACAUUAUGUGCUUAAGUGAUAUAUAUUGAUUCUUUGUUCAUCUAUGUUUUUGGUCAAGAUAUGUGCUCAUAUGAUAAUUGGUUCAACUUGACCUUAAUGCUUAUGAUUUGAAAAUACUUAAAUUUUUUAUCUCUUGAUUUUUAAAAUAUUUUUUAUAUACUUGCUCGUGUGCUAAAUUGAUUCAUUAAUUUUGUGAAAUAUUUUGGAUCUUGUGCUCAAUUGAUAUAUCUCUUGAUUUGUGAUUUUGAAUAUGAUGAACUACUUGCUUGUAAAUGAUAUAUGUGAUUGGUUCAUUUAUUGUUCUUGUCAAGUGUGUGCAUAUAUGAUAAAUGUGAUUUUUCUUGACUUGACAUGGUUGCAACAUGACUUAAGUAAAUGAAUUUAUUAUGAUGCCUAUUUUUAGCUUAAGUCAUUGUUGAUUAUGGCCUAUAAUUUAUGUAGACAUAUUUAUGCUUCUGUGCUAAAAUUUUCUUGAAUAUCUUUUUGAUGAUAAAUAUGUCUUCCUUGAGUUUUUAGUUUUCAUAUGGCCUAAAAUUUAUUUUGGCAUAUUCUUUGGUGAGUUCUUGAAUAUACAUGAAUAUUGAAUAUGUCUAUUUUGUGUUCAUGAAUGAUCUAAAAGGUUUGAUUUUUGCACAUUACAUGAGAAUUUUUGCUUUAGUGCCAUUCUUGUGCUAUUUGAUGUUUAAAUUGAUAUAUGGCCUCUAGCUUAAGUAUAUAUCUCCUUUGCAAUUGGUAACUUGUGCUUAGUGAAUAAAUUUUCUUUUGCCUAUAAUGACUUAGAAUUUGAAAUUGUUUUCUAACAAUUGGUAUAAUUUUUAUCAAUUGAUUUUCUUGAUGCUUCUAAUGAAAAUCCUUUGUCAAGAAAUUUUUCUAAGUCUAUGCUAGGAAAACUCGAAAUGAGCAUGAAUGAGCCUACAUUUUUGGAAUUUCAAGUAUAACAAGUAAAGCAUGUCAUCCUCAUCAAUCAAGCCUAGUUUUGCUCAAAUAAAGUGGAUUGGAGAAUUUAAAGCCAAAUGAGCACAACAACAAAGCUUGACAUGGAUGGAGGUAAAUGUAUCAACUUUAUGAUAUGAUGUACGAUUUGAGUACAUAUACAUGCUUGCUUUAAUAUGUGCAAAUAUAUGAUUUUGUUGUUGAAUAUAUGAACACAUUGCACAAAUUAAUCACCAAGCCACUUGGUAGAUAUUGUUAUAACAUUUUUGAAAGCUUGGAUUGAUUAAUUCACCUUUAUUGAUAUUCAUGCCUAGUUCUUGAUUGCUUCAAUUAAUAGUUUUUAUUGCAUGAAUAUUUGUUUGAAUCUUUGGACAUGGAUAUGAAUUGAAUAUAUUGAUUUUUUUUUUAUCUCUCAAUUGCCUUGACUCAUGGAAUAUGAACUUACAAAUUUGAAAUUUAUAUGCAUAUUCAUUGAUUGAGAUCAUUGAGAUAGCAUGUACCACAUUAUGUCUAAAUGUUUGUAUCUUUAUUGGUAUAUUGCUAUAUGUGAUUUGAAAUACUUUUGCAUAUGCAUGUAUGGUUUUGAUUGAAAAAUAUGUUUGAAUUGUAUUUAUGUACUUGCAUAUGUUUGGAUUAAGAAUAUUGCUUUGCAUUGAAAUAAUUUAGAUUAUAAUUGAAUAAUUAUGUUUUCAUUAUUUCUUUGCUAUAGCAUAUGUGCUCAUCAUGUUUGGAGAAUCAUGCUUGUAUAAUCUUUGUUAUGACAUGAUGAUAAUUGAACCUCAUUGCUCAUUAGUACUUAUGAUUUAUUAUAUACAUAUGAGCUUUUGGUUCUUGUUUGGAUAGGAUAGCUUAUGAAAGAUUACUAUUAUCAUUUAUGCAUGUAUUGAAUAAAUCUUUCAUAUUCUUAAAGGAUGUUUGUUCUAUGAAAGUUGUUGAAUAAAAUUGCUAACAAUUGGUAUCAAAAUUGCUAAAGAUUUUUUUUUUUUUUGCUUUCAUAGAUGAUUAUUUAUGUGCCUAUCCUUGAUAUAGCUUGUACCUUUCAUGCAAAAUUAUGUGUGCCUUAAAUUAAUUAAUCCUUAUUUUGAAAAUGAGGAGAAAUCUUAUAAUACAAUUUUGCUUGAUUUGUUUUGUAAUAACAAUUGGUAUACUUCUUGAUGACAUAUCUUUAACAAUUGGUAUCCAUAACAAUUGAUAUGAGCUUGUAUGCAUGUGCUUGAAUUUAUGUUUAAUUGCUACUGAUGUUUUAGGUUCUAAGCACAUCUUAUGAUAACAUGAUUUAUGAGUAGAUUGCAUAUCAUUCAUUAUCCUUUGCCCAUAAAUUUCAUGUAGUAAAUUUGAUGACUUGUGCUAAAAUGCCAAAUUUGGAUACACUUAUGCUUUUGUGCUUGAAUACAUGUAUGUGAACUUUAUUGUGCAUAUUACACUGGAUUACAUGCAUUCAAAAUACUCUUGAUAUUAUUAGUAUCAAGCAUUCUGUCCCAUGCCUUGAAUUGAUCUCUCUUUCUUUUGAAAAAGGGGAAAGAAUUUAAAGAUAUUUCUUCUUAUUGCAAUUGAUAUAGAAAUUUAAACAUUUGGUAUAUAGAGCCUAAACAAAAGGGAGGAGAAAUGUUUUAUGAAUAUAUUUGUUAAUGAUGCCUCUUUGUGUUUAUUUGCUCAUUAAUAUGCUCAUGCCUUUUUGCUAUGACAAAAAAGGGGGAGAAAUAUCAUAUAGACAAAUUUGCUUGUGCUUGACAUGCAUAUCUUUGAUUUUGUUUAUUUCAUAUAUUUGACUAGCAUAUGUUUGUUAAGUUGUGUUGGAUUAGGAUGCAUAAAUUGAGGGAGAGUUUUGCCAUUGGAUUAGGAUGCAUAAAUUGAGGGAGAGUUUUGCCAUUGGAUUAGGAUGCAUAAAUUAAUGGGGAGUUUUACCAUGCAUUGCUUAAGGGGAGUUUUCCAAAAUGUCUUUCAAAAUCUUAAAUGUUUCAAAGAAAGUUUUUCAUCAAGUAAAUUUAUCUUUAAGUUUUGUCAUAUAAAAAAGGGGGAGAUUGUUAGCCUUGAAUUGAUCCUUAUUUUGAAAUGACAAAACAUUAAAGCUAAAUAAACUUGAUCAAGAUUUUGAAAAAAGAUUUAUUUAGUACAUGUUCUUAAGUUUUAUAUUUUGGUACUAAAUAAAUAAUACGAUUUUCAAAGUUUAAACAAACCUUUCUUGGUGUCAUAUUUCUCAAACCAAAUCUAUCUUUAAAGAUUAUUUAUUUGAGCUUAAAUGAAAGUCCAAUUGUUGUUUUUAAAGUGAACUUAUUCAUUUUGGACUUAAUACAAUUUUGAUAAUAUUGGUUUUGAGAAAUAGAUUAACUUAAGAAAGCUAUUUUACAAGAACAAAGUUUUUCCAACGUUGAACUUGUUUUAUUUUUUUGUAUUAAUUCACAAAGUCUUAAUAUUUGAAUUUUAUAUGGUUGGAAAGCUCUUUAAGUCUCUUUCUAAUGGAUCAAACAAAACCAAAAUCCAAAUUUUCUAAGAAAAAAUUUUGAAUUUUUACUAGACACUCUGCAGUUGUCAGAAAAACUGCACAAGGUGUAAUUUGUAAAUUCACUAUAAUUUGUACACAGGAAUUAAGUGAUGAACUUUAUAUGGAUAGAAAUAACUUUAAGUCUAGUUUCUAAAUCUUCAAACGGUUUGUGAUUUGGAUUUAUAUAACUCAAGAUAUGAUCAAAUUAGUGAGUAGAGUGCAAAAUAGAGUAACCACCCAGCCACUGACAGAAUCGAUCCCCUAUGGAAGAGAUCGAUCGGUUUUGGGCGAAAACACUCCAACAGCUACUUUUUGGUGCUUCCAAUGGCUAUUUUCUUCUCCCAAACACUUCCAACUGUUACCUCUUCAAUUUCUCUAUAAAUUGGCACUCCAACACACCAAGAAGAUUGUGAAUCAAGAGAGUAAGAGCCAAUAAGCUACAUUUUCAUUCUCUCAAAGAAUCAAGUUUUUAGAGCUUCAAAGUCCAUAUCUUUGUAUUUAUUGUAUCCAAUUUUUAUUUGUUGUUCAUUCAUCAUUUUCUUGUACUUAAACUUAGCAAACACUUAGCCUUAGAAAGGUUUUCUAUUGUUUGCAAAAUUACCUUUGAUAAACAAAGGUGGAAGAGAACAAGAGGUGAGGUAUCUUUGAGAGCUUUGUAGUGAGAUUAGGAAAAAUACUACAAAGGGUAGUGGUUUCUAUCUUAAGCCUGAGAAAGAAAAAGAUAGGUUGUAUUUUUAAUUCAAGAAUAAUGGAUUGAAGCUUGGUGUGGACAACCAAGAAGAGAGGACGUAGGUGCCUUGUGAAGAAGGACCGAACCUCUAUAAAUCAUUGUGUUUGAUUUCUCUAUCCCUAUUCCUUACAAUUUAUUGUUGUUUAUAUUUGAUUUUAGAUUCAUUAAUUGUUAUUGUUGCAUUAUAUUUUCAUCAAAGGUGCUUAUUAUUUUAAUUUCCAUUCAACUAUAUUGAAUCAUUUGUUUGGGAAGAAUUUGGAGAAAUUCAAUUCACCCUCCCUCUUGGAUCACCAUCUAACCUAUAAAGCUAACACUUUCCAACAAUAUAUAAUACUUAAAGUAAUAAUUUAUCCAUUAACACAAAUUCCAUUUUAAUUCACACUUGCAAAUUAUAGCAUCUCAUCCAAAAAUAAAAUUUCUCGUUCAAUUUUUAAGAUGAAAAAAUAUGAAAGAGGCAUAAUAUAUAGCCAAUUGAAAGAUCAAUGUCUCAGUAUAACUUACACGAUUUUAGUAAACUACUUCUAGUAUUAUAUGCUAAGAUCAAGGUAUAAAAUAAUUUUAGCAUUGAAUAUUUAGAUUUCUUCACCCUAUAUACUCAAUAGGCAUUCUAGACUUCUAGAACCUAAUAUAAGUCCUAAAGUCAACCAAAUUAAAAAUUUGGGUAAGGCUCAUUAACACAAAUAAAAAACGGUAUUCCCGAGUGUACACAAACAAAAGCAACCAACUUAUCUAUUGCAACUUAUGGUUACUCCUAAUUUCGAUACUACUUUAUUGUUUCUUUCCAUCAUUUGGUUCACAAUAAACAAAAUGAUAUCCAAGUUCUUUGAAAAUCCCUAGAGCUGAUGGUUGUUACUCAAGUUCAUUUGGUUUUAGGACAAUGCACUUGUUCUUCAAUCUUAUUUACUGAUGUUUGAAGAAAUGAACAAUAAUUACUAUAAAACAACAUAAAAUCAUUGUGUUACACCACCAUUCUGUAAUAUAAUCCACCAAUCUAGGUCACCAAUAAAAAGAACUAAGGAAUUCAAUUCACAUAGUAACUUAUGGGUGAAUUCAAACAUACCGCUCUAUCUUAAUCCUUUAUUAGCAUGUAUGAUGUCAUAUAUAUGCAAUCAUGCCAAAUAGCCUUUUAAAAGGUUGUCACGGAAACCUCUCACAAUAAGUGAAUCACAAAAGCUUAGUACUUGAUUCCAAAAUCAAUUAUUAAAUAACAAAUAAUAUCAAUAUAAUAAUCUUAUGCCAUGUUUGGUGCAUAAGAAUACGACUUGAUAGGGUACAAUGAUAUUAUAAAUAGAAUUAGAUUAAAUAAUGUCAUCUUAUUUUGUGUUUGCCAUAUGUAAAAACUAGGACAGGAUAAUUUAUUUAUUUGUCAAAAUUAUCCUUAUUCAAAGUUUAUACAAUUUAAAUUAUUAAUGUAAUUUUUAAGGGUAUAAUUGAACUUGUAAGUUUAAUCUUAUAAAUUAAAAAUUAUCCUCUCUACUUUGAGAUGAUUGAAUAAUCCUAUACCAAGAAGAUAUUAAUCCUUAUUGCAAACCUUAUCUUUGUCUUUAGAUAGAAAUCAAAUUUGAUAUAGGAUGAUUAUCAUCAUAUUCUAUCAACAAUCAUAUGUACAAAUAUGACCUUAGUUACUAUUUUUAGUGGAACCACUCAACGACAGAGAAUCAUUUGUUCUAUUAAAACCGCUUCAAUCUAAAUUUUUGGUUUUAGAAACAAAUCUUUCACCACCAUUGCUCUUUAUAUAGUCUUCAAUCUUUGCUUUAUAAAUGUUUCCCAUUGAUAUCCUUAUUAGGAAUACUAGAGUGAGAAUUGUCAUAAAGUGGGCUAACUAUUAAUAGUUGGUUUUAAUAAUUUAUAAAAUUGGUUGAUGAGUUUACUCUUAAUACGAGAUAAGCAAGAGAGUUAAAUAAUUAAUGUGAUCACUUAAUGUAAGAUUUACCCCAUCUUACUAAGUCAAUCUGGUUUGGAGGUUUUUAUAGACCUUAGUCCUAGCAGUGUUUGAGUGAGGAGGUUUAAGGGUUUUCCAUAAAAUAGGUUCAGAUAACUGUUUUUUUUUUUUUUUUACUUUUAUACGAGUUACAGUUAUUGCUCAUUGAGUGUCACCAAUAAGAGAAGAGUGAAGAGGAAGACCUAGCCACCUUAAGGAUUGUUUCGUUUUGGUAUAUUCAUCAUGACCACCCAAAUAAGUAUGACAAAUCUCUUUAUUUGUUUAUGAUGUUCUAAUUAUCAAACAAUGAUCUUGGGUUAAUGUUUAUGUGUGGUAUCAGAGCUAUCAUUAUGUGAUAUUAAGACCCUAAAAUCGUGAUUUGUAAUUGAUUUUUGAACAAACAACAUAUUUAGGGUGAAAUUAUGUUGUUGUCAGAAUUUUAAAUUUUGAUCUUUAUUUUUUGACAUUGAUUUAGGAUUUUAGUUCCUCUCUAAAAAAGGAUUAAAAUUAUACAAAGAUCAUUUUCUAAUUCCUUAUAUCGAUAGAGAAAUCAAGGUUGAAAAUUUUUAGGUUUAAGUUUUAAUCUAAAUUCUUAUUUUGAUUAAAACAUCAAAUAUUUUAUAUGUUUAAUUCCAAAUUAAUUCUUCAAUCAUGUUUCUCAUGUGUUAUAAAGUUAAAUCAAAGCAUUUAAUUUCAUUUUGUUUUAGAUUGGCCAAACACAAAGAAAACAAAAAGAGGUCUAAUAUGUGUUUAUGUAAUUCAAAAAACUUUGACCAAUUGAUCUUAUUUUUGUCAUUUUUUGAUAUUUUUUCUUCAUGGGUUUGAUAAAAAAAUAAUUUUAUUUUUAGGCCCUUCAAUUUGAUUAAAAUACUAAGAAAAUGUAUAAAAAUGGUGGAAAAAUACGAACAAACCAAAAUAGGUAAAGAAAUAUUCUAGUCUCAUUAAGUCAACCUAACUAGAGGUUAAAGAAAACCAUUCCCCAUGUUAAACAAAAUUCUUGCAUAGUGGGCGACACGUGUGGCAUGUAUGGGCUUGUCUGGCAUCCAUUUUUGCUCUAGUUUCUUUUAGCAUACUUGGAAUUUUAUUUCUAAUUUUUUUUGAAAUUUUAAACUACAUGAAAUAUUUGUUUGACACUCAUGCAUUGCUCAGUAAUUACUAUAUGUUAUAUACAUUGUUUUAUUAUUUUAUUUUGUGAUAAAAUAUUUUGGUGUGUUGGGGGUUUAAUGAUAGUAGGUAUUCUUCCUAAAUAGGCCUUGAUAUUUAUGUACUCUCAAGUUGAAUCUUAAGUGCAUAAUUGAUUUAGUAAUUAAAAAUUGAUCAAGACUCUAGUUUAAAUUUAAUGUACACUACUUAUAAGACCUAAUUAGAUACAUUUAGGUUUAGUAUCUUAGUUAGAUAGUCCAUUGCAUACAUUAUGCUUGAGUAUGUAAACUGAGAGUUUUUGGGCAAUUAAUGAAAAUUUUCAAUUUGAAAAAAUCAUCAUUAAUUGAUAUCAGUGUUUGGUUGUCAAAGUGGCUCACUUAUUGAAAUUAAUGUAAUAUUUUGUCAUUCUAUGGUUACAGGAUGGUUAUUAAAUUAUCUUAUGCAAUUGACUUCCUAAAGGGGGUUAAUGUAUAGGUAAUUUGUUUUGGAAUAUAAAUCAUUAUGGUUGAAAUUGUACCAAUCUUGAAAAUCUAUCUGCCCAAAGGGGAUAUGUUUUUAAAAGCUAGGACAUUUUCAUAUUAGCUUUAUGUGGAAAGUUCCUACUCGCAUAUUACAUUCUUUAUCCGAAAAGGAGUUUGUGGUGAUGCACCAAGAACUUUCAAUGAUUGUUAGUACAUCAUGAACUGUUGCUAUAUAUUUUAUGAUAUUGCCUAUUUACUAAUGUUGCAUUUUUGUCUUGAAUGUUGACUUUUAUUGUCAAUAACAAUAAGCCACUAUUAAAGUUCUUCACGGGUCUAAUUAUAAAAAAUGAAAUGAAGAUUUAAAUUUUGCUUUGGUUAUGAAUAAGAUAGACAUAGCCUUACAUUUUUCCAAGCCUGCUAAUUUUACUGAUGAAAGCAUUGCUGAACAAAAGGAAUUUUUUCCCAAAUGGGAAAAGGUAAAUUGUAUACGUCUAUAUGUCAUUAAUAGGUCUAUUUUUGAAUACCUUUUGAGUGAGUUGGAUACCACAAAAUUGCUAGGGAUCUCUACCAUGCUGUAGGCAAUAAAUACCAAAAAUCCAAUAAGUGUAAAGCUAAGAACCUUAUGAAUGAGCUUACAAGUAUAAGGUAUGAUAGUGUUAGAAGUGUUAGAGAUUUCAUCAUAAGAACGAUCCAAAUUCAAACCAAAUUGACUUCUCAUGAAAUUGUCAUUCUUGAUAAAUUCAUUAUUCAUCAUGCCCUUAAUGCCUUACUUAUGGAGUUCACUCAGAUCAAAAUUGUCUAUAAUGCUAUGAAUGAGGUUUGAAGUGUUAAUGAUCUUAUUUAAAAGUUUGUCUUUGAGAAGAAAAACUAUAGAAAGAAAAGGGCGAGAGUGCUUUUUUUACUACAUACUCCAAACAUAAUUACAAAAGAAAUUAUGCGAAAUCUGGGAAAUUUGUUCCUAAUGCUCAAAAGAAAGUUCAAGAAACCAAGGGACAAGGUAGUCGUCAGAUUAAAAAGAUAAAAGGUCUUAAAGCUGUCAUUAAGAAAGAUAUCAAGUGUUUUUCCUGUAAAAAGAAUGUCAUAUGAAACAUAAGUACCCUAAAUAUCAAGCUUGGUUAAAAAAAAAAAUAAACAAGAAGGUAACUCACUAGCUCUCGUUUGUUUUAAAUCUUAAUUUGUUAGUGGUCACCAAAUUCCUAAUAGGUUGAUAGUGGUGCAACUGUUCAUUUUGCUAUUACCUUUGCUAGGAUUCAAAAACAAAUGAAAGCUAAGUGAGAAAGAGGCUAAACAUAGAGUUUGAAACAAUGUUGAAGUAGCCGUUAAUUAUGCAGGAAUAAUAGGCUUAAAUUUAGAAUCUGGCUUUGAACUUAUUUUGGAAAAUGUUUAUCAUACACCUUCAUUUAGGAGGAAUUUGAUUUUAGUUUUUAUUUUGGACAAACAUGGUUAUUAUUUUGGCAUUGGAUAUGGAAAAAUUGACUUGUUUUAAAAUUUAAAUGUUGUUGGUGAAUUUAAACUAAUUGACAAUUUAUAUAAACUGUGCUUAGCCUACAAUAAUUAAUAUAGUUGCAAUAAUGUUGAAAAGAUAGUGACUAAAAAAUCUUUAAGUAAAGAAAAUUCGUUGUUGAUGAAUUUAAACUAAUUGACAAUUUAUAUAAAUCGUGCUUGGCCUAUGAUAAUUAAUAUAGUUGCAAUAAUGUGGAAAAGAUAGUGUCUUAAAAAUCUUUAACUAAAGAAAAGUUUUUUUGUUGUGGUGUAAAAGGUUGGGUCCACAUUUCUAUUGAAGAAGUGCAAAAUUUGAUAAAAGAUAGUACUUUACCUUCCCUUGGUUUUGAAAAGUUAGACACUUAUGUUGAUUGUAUAAAAUGUAUACUAACUAAGACUAAGAAAAAUGAGGCAAUUUGCAAUUUUGACCUUUUCAAAAUUGUGUAAACUAAUAAUAAUGGACCUCUUACAUCUAUCUUAUGUGCUAACAAAUAUCUCUUAAUACGAGAUAAGCAUGGGAGUUUAAAUAAUUUAAUGUGAUCACUUAAAUGUAAGAUUUGCACAUCUUACUGGGUCAAUCUGGUUUGGAGGUUUUGUAGACCUUUAGUCUAGUAAGUGUUUGAUGAGGAGGCUUCAAGGGUUUUCAAUUAAAAUAGGUUCAGAUAACUUUUUUUUUUUUACUUUUAUAUGAGUCACGGUUAUUGCUCAUUGAGUGUCGUAAAUAAAAGAGAAGUGAAGAGGAAGAUCUAGGCACUUUAAGGAUUGUUUCACUUCGAUAUAUUCAUCGUGACCACCCAAAUAAGUAUGAAAAAUCUUUUUAUUUGUUUACGAUGUUCUAAUUAUCAAACAAUGAUCUUGGGUUAAUUUUUAUGUGUGGUAUCAGAGCUAUCUUUAUGUGAUAUUAGGACCCUAAAAUCAUGAUUUGUAAUUGAUUUUUGAACAAACAACAUAUUUUGGGUGAAAUUAUGUUGCUGUCAAAAUUUUAAAUUUUAAAUUUUGAUCUUUAUUUUUUGAAACUGAUUUAGGAUUUUAGUUCCUCUCUAAAAAAGGAUUAAAAUUAUAUAAAGAUCAUUUUCUAAUUCCUUAUAUCGAGAUAGAAAUUAAGGUUGAAAAUUUUUAGGUUUAAGUUUUAGUCUAAAUUCUUAUUUUGAUUAAAACAUUAAACAUUUUAUGUCUUUAAUUUGAAAUUGGUUCUUGAAUCAUGUUUCUCAUGUGUUAUAAAGUUAAAUCAAAGCAUUUAAUUUUAUAUUGUUUUAGAUUGACCAAACACAAAGAAAACAGAAAGAGGUCUAAUAUAUGUUUAUGUAAUUUGAAAAAUUUUAACUAAUUAAUCUUAUUUUUGUCAUUUUUUUAUACUUUUUUUUUCAUGGGUUUGAUAGAAAAAUAGUUUUAUUUUUGGGCACUUCAAUUUGAUGAAAAUACCAAAAAAAUGCAUAAAAAAUGAUGGACAAAUACGAACAGACCAAAAUAAGUAAAGAAUUGUUCCAGUCGCAGUAAGUCAACCCAACUGGAGGUUAAAGAAAACUAUUCCCCAUGUUGAACAAAAUCCAUUAAUAGUGGAUGGCACUUGUGACACGUGUGGGCUCGUUUGGCAUCCAUUUUUGCUCUAGUUUCUUUUGGCAUACUUGGAAUUUUAUUUCUAAUUUUUUUUGAAAAUUUUAAACUACAUGAAAUAUUUUUUUGACAUUCAUUCAUUGCUUAGUAAUUACUAUAUGUUAUACACAUGAUUUUACUAUUUUAUUUUGUGAUAAAAUAUUUUGGUAUGUUAGGAGUCUAAUGAUAAUGUGUAUUCUUCCUAAAUAGGCCUUGAUAUUUAUGUACUCUCAAGUUGAAUCUUAAGUGCAUACUUGAUUUAGUAACUAAAAAUUUAUUUUAAAAAAAAUUCAAUACUCUAGUUUAAAUUUAAUAUACACUGCUUAUAAGACCAAAUUAGACACAUUUAGGUUUAGUAUCUUAGUUGGGAUAGUCCAUUGCAUACAUUAUGAUUGAGUAUGUAAAUUGAGAGUUUUGGGCAAUUAAUGAAAUUUUUCAAUUUGAAAAAAUCUUCAUUAAUUGAUAUCUAUGUUUUGUUGUCAAAGUGGCUCACUUAUUGAAAUUAAUGUAAUAUUUUAUCAUUGUAUGGUUACGGGAUGGUUAUUAAAUUAUCUUACGCAAUUGACUGCCUAAAGGGGGUUAAUGUACAGGGUAAUUUGUUUUGAAAGAUAAAACAUCAUGAUUAAAGUUGUACCAAACUAGAAAAUCUAUCUACCUGAAAGGGAUAUGUUUUUUGAAAGCUAGGACAUUUUCAUAUUAGCUUUAUGCAGAAAGUUCCUACUCGCAUAUUACAUUCUUUAUCCAAAAAGGAGUUGUUGUGAUGCACCAAGACCUUUCAAUAAUUGUUAGUACAUCAUGAACUGUUGUUAUAUAUUUUAUGAUAUUGCCUAUUUACUAAUGUUGCAUUUUUGUCUUGAAUGUUAACUUUUAUUGUCAAUAAUAAUAAGCCACUAUUAAAGUUCUUCAUGGGUUUAAUUAUAGAAAAUGGAAUGAAGAUUUGAAUUUUGCUUUGGUUAUUAAUGAGAUAGACAUAGCCUUACGUUUUUCAAAGCCUGCUAAUUUUACUUAUUAAAGCAUUGCUGAACAAAAAGAAUUUUUUCCUAAAUGGGAAAAGGUAAUCUUAUGUGUCGAUAUGGCAAAAGAAUGAACAAGAAGGUAACUCACUAGCUCUUGUUUGUUUUAAAUUCUAUUUUGUUAGUGGCCCACCAAAUUCCUUAAUAUAUAUUAGGCUAUUUAUCAAGAAAUAUAUAUUUAAAAAAUUAUUUAGUUAUCGAAAACUUUCAAAUUUUAGAUGUAAGUAUUAUGGGAUAUGUAAAUGCCUAUAUAUAUAUAUAUAUCGUUUUUUGACACAUAAGAAUUUACCACAAAAAAUUAACUUAUAUGGAUAUCUACAUGGAUAAUUUUUAAAUUGUUAACAAUAAAAUCUAAUUUAGAUAUAUUUUUAUUAAAAAUAAAUUUCCUAAUAAUAUAAACAUAUUUUUUAAAUUUAAAAAUCUCAAUUGUAAUAAUAUAUUAUCUCUAAAAUGGGUUUAUAAAAUAAUUCUAUUUGAUAAAUUAUUUAAAUUCAAAAUGAAAACCUAUCAAAUAUGAAAAAUUUUGUAAAAAUCUUGAAUUAAAAAAUGUCAAUUCAAGAAUUUUUGUUUUUCUUAAUUUAAUCAUUUUUCAUGAAUAUAUAUGGACCAUAAAUUUUGAAUACAUAUUUCAAUUAAAAUUGAUUAGAUUUGUUUUUUACUAUUUCAAAUUUGAAAGAUAUGUUGUAUUUUUUAAUUCUCUUACCAUUAGAUUAUUUUAAAAAUUUAAUCCCAGCCACAGUCACUAAUCAUUUUAUCAUUACCAUUGCCAAGUUUGCGUCUAAAAUAGCAACGAAAGGCAUCGAUGAAAAUUUUUUAUUGUUUCAUUCCAAUCACAAUCACCAUCAUUUUAUUGUUUGAGAAGAAUCAUAAUUUGUAACUAAAUCACUUAUAAGUUGUGACAUAAUCAAUUGAUUUAUGUUUAGUUAAAUGAUUUACAGCUAGAGCUAGAGAUCCAACCAUUUAAGGAAAAAGCUAAGGACAAAGAACUUCUCUUUUAUAUACAUUUAUCUUUAUAUUAAUGUCACUUUUUUUCAAAUGGGCUAUUUUUAUAUUUAACCAUUUUCGAAAGACUAACAUUACCUUAAAGCGUAUGUAUUACUUACCUUAUAUAGUUAAAAUUAUAUCAAUUAGUAAUCAAAUUUUUAUGAUUUAUCUUAAAUCAUUCUUAAUUAAAUUAAAUUAUUUAUUUUUAAUAUGCCACUUCAUCAUAAAUACAAAUGAAUAGCCUUUAGUGUGGUAGAGUAUUGGUUUGAAGAUCUAUUUCACUACUUUUAUUUUGUUUUGGUUCUUUUUUUUUUUAUUUGAUCCAUUUGUUUGUUUCUUCAUCUUUUAUUUAUUUUUUAUAACUGUCAUAACAUAUAGAUCCGUGAACCUACUGCUAGACUCAAAAUGGAAAGGAGUUGCCACUAAUCUUUUUUGGUUAGGUGUGAUUGGCCACCUGAUUAAAGUUUAUCUAUAAAACAGAGGUUAGGUUCGAAAAUUGAUUGCGCAUGGGAAAGGUUAUAGCACCCAUAAAAUGCCCAUCAAAGGAAUGGCACCAGUUUGAUUUCGAAUUAUCCAAGCCUUGCUUAUGAUUUUCUAUUUACCAAAUAGUAAAUUUUAUAUUCCCCCACCCUUUUUUUAGAAUUUUUUUUAGAAAAGACAGAAUAAUUUUUUUCCUUCUUUUCUUUUUUUUUUUCUUUUUUUGAAAAAUAUAGAAUAAUUUUUUCCUUUUUUUUAAAUAAAAAAAUUCAAAAAAUAAAAUAUGGGUAAAAUAAAUAAAUUAGAAAAAAAUCAAAAACUAAAAAGAAAAUGUAAAAAGGAAAACUUACGGUCAGAUCGGGUUGGGACGCGGUUUAGUGCGCAGAUCUUUAGGUCGAAGCGCGAAUCCUGGCUUGACGAAACGGUGUCAUUAUGGAGCAGUAUAAAAAGCACAUUUUAGCAUUUUUUCUUAGAACCCUAGAGCCUUUCUCUCUUUACCCAAAAAAUCUCUGACCUCUCUCUAAAAUAUCCACUGGAAAGUUCAACCGAAAACUAGAAAUCCCAUUGGUUUUUGAAAACUUCGCCAAAAAAUUUAACUGAAAACUAGAGAAUCUAUCAAUUUUUAAAAAGCCACCGGUUCUAAAAACUUUGUCGAAAUCUCGUCGAAAAAUUCAACCUUCGUCGAAAAAUUUAACUGAAAAGUUCAAUGUUCUUCAAAAAUCCAAAAAAACACAAAAAAAUUUGAAAAAAAAAUAAAAAAUUCAAAAAAAUUCUCAGAUGAUUCUAAGCCCUUCCUGAACCUCUUACAACCUCAAAUCCUUUUUUAGAAUCCCAAAAUCAUGCCCAAAACUACAAAUCGAACUUAAAUCCCUAUCCUCGAAUCCCAGGAACCCUUACUGUCAAAAGUUUACCAGAGCUUCCCUAACAAUUUCCCUUGUGCUUUUUCUUGUAUCUGUGCGUCCCUUUGUGUCAUAAUUAGUCUAAUUUAUAAGCAGCCUAGGAUCAAUUCAAGAAAUAAAUAAAAUCAAUCCCAGGCUUGAUUCUUGGGAUUGCAUUAUGUUCAUAUCAGAUUUUAGGUCUAAAAUUUUAGCACCCUCCUGCUUAUACGAUUUGGGCAAUAAAAGUUUGACUAUCAUGGUUUUCGACUCUGAUUUUAUCAUAUGGGAAUCAGAACAAAAAUGAAAAGAAGAAGAGAAAAGAAAAAGAAAAAAAAUGAAAAUGAAAAUAUAUAAUAAUAAUAAUAAUAAUAAAUAUAAUAUGGUAUAAUAUAAUAUAACAGAAAAAAAAAUCAAAGAAGAAAAUAUUGAUAAUAAAUAGUACUAAUAAUAUAAUAAGAAAAAAUCUAAUUGGACCUUAACGGGCUUGAAUGGGCCUAAACGAGAAUGGGCCUAGUUGGGCUCGACUCCCAGCAAGGCUCAGACCGAGAUGUAUCCCACUGAGCUUGGAUGAGAAUGGGCCCAAAUCAGAAAGGGUUUUUAACUGGGCUUAAGCUAGAAUGGGCCCGAUUGGGCUCGAAUUGAAAUGGGUGUCCAUAGUUGCCCCUAUUUGCACAUCUUUGUUAGACGAGGAUGUUGCAAAGACCUAGACACCCACUAUGGACUUGAAUUCAAAAAAUUACCUAGACUGAACCAAGGUCGAGAAUAAAUGAUCGGAAUGAAACCACGAAUCAUGUAACCAAGAUUAAACCACGAGUUGAAAUAAAGCGAUCGGGAUCGAAUCGAGGUCGAAAAUGAAUGAUUGGGAAGAAACCAUGAAUCAUGUGAUCGGGACGAAAUCACAAGUCAAAAUAAAGUGACUAAGGCCAAGUCGAGGUCGAAAAUAAAUGAUCAGGAUAAACCAUAAAUCAUGUGAUCAGGACAAAACCAAGAGUCAAAACAAAGCCACCAGGAUUGAGUCGAGGUAAAAAAUGAAUGACCAAGAUGAAACCACAAAUCCUAUGAUCGAGAUGAAAACACGAGUUAAAAUAAAGUGACCAGGACCGAGUCGAGGUCAAAAAUAAAUGAUCGGGAUGAAACCAUGAAUCAUGUGACCAAGAUGAAAUCAUGAGUCGAAAUAAAGUGACCAAGACUGAGUCAAGGUUAAGAAUAAAUGAUUGAGAUAAAACCACGAAUCAUAAGAAAUGAUCUGUACUGAGCCAAGAUUAAGGGAGUGGAUAAUGCAAAUGUAUGCCUUAUCUAGGAUGCAAAUGAAUCAUUGAUUGUGAUACUAAGGCUUUUGUAUUCUCGUUUUAGAAGAGAAACCUUCAGCUAUUAUCCUACAUGUUCACUUUCACUGUACACUUUAACGAAGAAAUUCCCUUUCACAUUUGACAUGAAAAGCUAUUUUUCAUCAAUUUGGAGGUGCAUCUUUGACAAAGAAACCAUCUUUUAUCAACCUGAAAGUAUGUAAAGAAGCCAUCAACCUAGAUGCAUUUUGGUAGAAAAACUUUUGCGUCCACAUGUCUGCUCAUCCAAAGAGAGCCAUGUAAGUCUUUUUUUUUUUGGGUCAGCCUUUGCCUUUAUCUUUUUCAACCCUUCAAAAUAAUACACUUCUUAUGAUUUUGUUCAAUUAUUAAUCAUUAUCCCAAUUCUAAAGUAUGAAGAUGCAAAUUAUGCAUUUCUUUCAUUCAUGGUAAAGGAGAAGAAUAAUGUACAGGAUUUAGAGAAUGAUAAGAUGGCUUUUAUUUCUAUGGAUAAUCAAUUACAAAUACCGGUGUGAAGGAAGAAUAAUGUACAGGAGCAGCCAUUUAGGGGUAAUAGUGCCCCCAAAACAAAUGAUUAGAUAAUCAUGACAACAAAUCUCUGAUCUCCUUCAAAAACUCAAUUAAAACUUGAUGCCCGAACAUUUCAAAGCUCUUCAAAAUUUACUGCCUAUGAUAUGCCUUCCCUAGUAGUGCCAAUUGAAGCCACCUUCGAAUCUUUUCCUUUGGGUCCAAACUAACCUUCCACGUUUUCAAUUUAACCUUUUUCUCUACUUUUUUUUAUGGUUCAAACUGCUCUUUUCGGGUUUUCAAUUUGACCUUUUUCUCUUUUUUUUUUUGGAAAAUCAAGCAAAAUACUUCUUUACUACGUCAGAGUUGACAGGACCAGGAAGUUUAUCUCUAUCCAUUUUUGACAAAAUCAAGGCUCCCUAAAAAAAAGCUCUUUUUACCACAUAAGGCCCCUCCCAAUUUGGAGUCCAUUUUUCUCUAUCAUCAUGAUGACUUGGAAGACUCCUUUUCAACACCAAUUCUUCCUCUUGAAAUUAUCGAGGUUUGACCUUUUUGUCAUAAGCUCUCAUCAUUCUCCUUUGAUAUAACUAGCCAUGACAUAGGGCUGUCAACUUUCUUUCCUCGAUAAAGUUCAAUUGCUCAUAAUGUUUUCAAAUCCAUUCAACUUCUUCUAAUACCACUUCUCUUAAGACCCUUAAAGAUGGGAUUUUUACUUCCACUGGUAGCACAGCUUCCAUUCCAUAAACCAAGAAAAAGAGAGUAGCCCCAGUAAAGGUACAUAUAGAAGUUUGAUACACAUGUAGAGCAAACGGUAAUUUCUCAUGUCAAUCUUUGUACAUUUUAGUCAUCUUUUCCAGAAUUCUUUUGAUAUUCUUAUUCGCCACUUCUACUGCCUCAUUCAUUUUUGAGCGAUAUCGGGCUGAAUUAUGGUGUUUGAUUUUGAACUGAGCACAUAUUUCUUACAUUAUCUUGCUAUUCAAAUUCUUGACAUUAUUUGAUAUAAUUCUUUCUAAAAGCCCAUAUCUGUAAAUUAUUUCUCUUUUGAUGAAUGUGUAGACCACUGAUCUAGUCACUGUCGUGAAUGAGGUAGCUUUAACCCAUUUAGUGAAGUAGUCAUUCAUCACAAAAAUGAAUCUAUUCCCAUUUGAAGCCUUUGGUAUGAUAGAGUCAAUGACAUCCAUCCUCCACAUAGAAAAUGGCCAAGGUGGUGCUAUAACAUGUAAAGCAUUGGGCGGAGCAUGAAUCUUAUCAGCAUCUAGCAUUUAUGGCACCUUCGUGCAUAAUUGAUGCAAUCUUUUUCCAUCAUCAAUCAAUAAUAUCUAGCUCACAUGACCUAUCUCGCCAUCAUAUGCCCAUUUUCAUGUGCCCCACAUACACCAUUAUGCACAUUUUUAACAAUUCUACUAGCUUCAGAUAUAUUUACACAACGAAGUAACACUUAGUCCUUGCCUCUUUUGUACAAAGUUUCCUUAUAAAAAAAAAAUCCUAUGGCCAAUCUUCUUAAGAUUUUUUUUAUCAUUUUCUGUUGCUUAAUUUGGGUAUUAUUGAUUUUUUAAAUAUUGCAUGAUAUCCUAAUACCAAAGGUGACCAUCUUUCUCUUCUCCCAAGUUGGCAUAAUGUACUAGCAUAUCUUUGAUAUCCAAUUUGAUUGGCUAGAUUUUAGCGGUAUCAUUAUCUGUACCAUGACGGCCAAGGUAGCCAAGGCUUCGCAAUCUGAUUUUCUUCCUAAGGUUAGUGCUCAAAAUGAAUUAUUUUAAAUUGUUUGCAUAGCUCUAAAAUUUAUUUAUGAUAAGGGAUGAGUUUUGAAUCCAUUGUCUCCCACUCAUCUUUGAACUAAUAAAUGACUAGAACUGAGUCUCCAAACACCUUUAAUAUUUCAAUCUUCCUACCUAAAGCCGUAUGUAGCCCCAUGACACAAGCUUCAUAUUCAGUGACAUUAUUGGUGCAGUUGAAAUUUAAUAUUGUUGUAAUAGGAUAGUAGUGCUCCAUUAGAGAUAUCAAAACUGCUCUGAUUCCAUACCCCAUGGCAUUAGCGGCCCUAUCAAAAUAUAUCUGUCAUGCUUUUUCAUCAUCAUCAUCUUCUUCUGAUUCUAGAAUGACCAUCAAUUCCUCAUUUGGGAAAUCAAACUUCAUGGGUUCAUACAAUAGCCCUGUCUACUAAGAAUUCAGCAAUGAUACUUCUUUUGAUUGCUUUUUGACUUAAAUAUAUUACGUCAUAUUCAAAAAACAACACUUGCUAUCUUGCAAUUUUUUUGAUAGUGAAGGUUUCUCAAAGACAUAUUUGAUGGGAUCUAAUUUAGCUAUGAGCAAAGUGGUAUGGUACAGCAUAUACUGCUUGAGCCUUUUAGCCAUCCAAGCUAAAGCAUAACACAUUUUCUCUAAUGAUGAAUACUUAGACUCAUACUCUGUGAAUUUCUUGCUAAAUAAUAAAUAGCUUUCUCUUUCUUACUAGAUUCAUCUUAUUGGCCCAGCACACAUCCCAUCAAACCCUCAUAUACCAUUAGGUAUAGAAUUAGUGGUUUUCUUGGGAUAAAAGGUGCUAAUAUUGGAGGGUUUAGUAAGUACCACUUGAUUUUAUCAAAAGCUUCUUGACGUUGUUCAUUCCACUCCCGAGAUUAUUCUUUCAAAGGAGUUUAAAAAUGGGGUCACAUUUGAAAAAUGAACCAGGAGAUAUAAUUUAAUCUACCCAAGAAGCUGCGAACCUCCUUUUGUGUAUUUGGUGAAGAUAGAUUUUAAAUGGCCCAGAUUUUAUCUAGAUCUACUUCUAUCCCUCUUUCACUGACUAUAAAUCCUAGCAUCCUUCCUGUUCUGGCUCUGAAUGUACACUUAGCUGGAUUCAAUUUAAGCUGGAACCUCAGUAACCUUUUCAAAUAACUUUUUGAGGCUGAUUACAUGAUCCUCUUAUUUUGAAACUUGGUGAUCAUGUCGUCCACAUACACCUCAAUCUCCUUAUGCAUCAUAUUGUGGAAGAGUGUCACCAUAGCUCUUUGAUAAGUUGCCCUAGCAUUCUUUAGCCCAAAAGGCAUAGCUUUGUAGCAAAAAAUCCCUCACAUAGUGAUAAGAGUAGUUUUUUCCAUGUCAUUUGGAGCCAUUUUUAUUUGAUUGUACCUAGAGAAUCUAUCCAUGAAAGAGAAUACUAAAUGUUAGGCCAUAUUAUCCACCAUAGUAUCGAUGUGCGGUAAAGGAAAAUUAUCCUUAGGGCUAGCUUUGUUCAAAUCUCUAUAGUUUACACACAUUCGUACCUUACCAUCCUUUUUAGGAACAAGUACGAUAUUAGCCACCCAUUUGGGAUACUUGUCCACUUGCAAAAAGCCUGCAUGGAAUUACUUUUUAACUUCCUCUUUGAUUUUCAAUAACAUCUCUGAUUUUAUUUUUCUUAGCUUUUGCUGUAUUGGUUUGUAUUCUGGUUUCAAUGGUAACUUAUGCUCCACUAUUUUAGUGCUGAGUCUAGGUAUAUCUUGGUAAGUCCAAGCAAAAACAUCCAUAAUUUCUUGGAGCAAAUCCUCUAACCACUGUCAGUCAACAACCGAGAGUAAAGUACCAAUCUUGACUUCUUUCUUAUUUUCGGGAUCACCCAAAUUGAUCAAUUCGACCACUUAUUGAUGAGGUUCAAUGGAUUUAUCCUUCUAUUCAAUUAGCCUCAUUAAAUCUAGAGACAAAGUAUAUUUUUCAAACUCUUUUUUAGUAUCAAGUUCAUCGAUAUUAAUUGAAUUUUUAAAGUUAAACCCCAAAUCAUUGUCAUGAUUAUCUUCGCAUUCAUUUGGGGACCUGAAAGUUAAUAAAAUAGAAAAUAUUGGUGAGAGAUUUUAAUGGUAGAAUGAAUGGAAUGGAAGAAAUGAACAAAAUGCAUGCUCCUACUUUUAUUGAAAUAAUAAAAAAUAAAAGGCCCAAACAUGAGAUUUCAUCUUAAUACUUUUGGGCAUAAGCGAUUAGGAUAUGUGAUUACAUUAAAGGAAAAUAAAAAACAAUAGGCAUUUGGAUGACCCUCCAAUUCUACAAUUCAUAUCCUGACAAGCAAGGGUAAACCAUAGCUUCCUCAUUCUGGCUUCCAUCAUCCACCAUAUGAAUGGACAAAUUGGCAAAAGCUUCCUCCCACUUUGGUUCUUCUAUUGCAUCCUUUUCAACUUUUGGAAAUAUGUGUCCUCCAGAAGUGAAAAUCUAAUUUAAGUGGGGAAAAACUAUCAAUUUGUUCCUUGUCCUACUACUAAGGCUUGGUACUCCCUACAUCUCAUAACCUAAUCCUAUUUUACCGCUAUUAUCCUCAAGCUUUAGGAAUUCUCUCAUCCCUUGAAGGUUCUUGCCCAGAACGAACCCAAUACUCCAACCCUUAUUGACCAUCUAAUUAAUCAUAAUUUGAUUGAAUUUAAGCCCUUUACCCAUUGUAUUAAUAGGUUCAAAGGAUCUGUAUAAGCACUCUAAUGAUUCUUCUACCACUUUUACAUAUAAGGCAUUUAUGGGUCGGGUUACCAGUAAAUCUUCCUCCCUGGCCACAAUCACCAAUUACCUUUUUAUAUUAAACUUGAUUUUUUAGUGCAAUGAAGAAGGAAUGGUGCCUGCUUUGUGGAUCCAUGGUCUUCCUAAUAAGUAGUUGUAUGAUGGAGAGAUAUCCAUAACUUAAAAUUUUAUAUUGAAAACACAUUGACCAAUCUGUAUGGGUAGCUCGACAUCUUUUAAUACUUUUCACCUAGUCCCAUCAAAUGCUCGAAUCACCAUUUGACUAUCCUAGAUAUGAGACAUAUCAAAAGGUAAUUUUGCCAGAGUAGGCAUAGGCAUAACAUUAAUGGCCAACCCAUUAUCAACAAGGACCUUGGCUACUAUGUGGCCCUUGCAUUUGAUAGUGAUAUGUAAUUUCUUGGUAUUUUUUAUGCCUUCUAGUGGGAUCUCAUUAUCACUAAAGGAGAUAUAGUGUGGCACUACCAGAUUGCCUACUAAAUUAUUCACAUACUCCACGAAGACAUUAUGGGUCACAUAAGCCUGAUUCAAUACAUUUAACAAGGCAUUACAAUGUAGUUCAGAGUUCAAGAUAAGUGAUAAUAGAAAAAUUUUAGCUGACAUCUUAUUCAAUUACUUUACCAUAGAGUACUCAUUAUGUUUGAUUAGCUUCAGGAACUCACAAGCCUCUUUUUCAGGCACAAGUUUUGAUGUAUCUUUCUCUGAGAUUUCUGGUUCAGUUUGCUUCUCAUUUCUUUUUUCUAAUUUAUUUAAAGUUUUUGAGUAUAACAUCUCUCACUUCUAGUUAUGCCCCUUACUUUUGUUAUGUGAGUAGUUUCAGCUUUAGCAUAUCUUUUUGUUACCCUUGAAUUGUUACCCCACAUUCAUAAUUCCAAGGUACUACUUAUUGUUUUUAUAAGAAAAUGGGCAUGAAACUUUGAGAGCUAUUGGUUUGGGAACAAACUUAUUCCCAGCUAAUUAUGGUUUCUUCUUACAGCGUAUAAUGAUAGGUUUCGGCACCCACCUGUCUAUUAUAGCCACCUUGAUGUCUUUUAAACCUUUCGACUCUUCAUACAGCUUUAUUUGGUAAGAGUUUAUUAAUUUCUGAACUUCACCAUGAAACUGUUUGUAGGCAUCAACUAAAUGACUUGAUACCCCACCAUGAUAUUUAUAUAUUUGAGUUGGGCUAGAUUUUUUCACAUAAGUGCAUAGAGCCAUUAAUUGUAUCAUCCCAGCUUCAUGUAAGGCUUCAUAUAGCUAGUUGAAUGGCAUAUUAAGCUUUUUUACUCUUUUUUCACAUGUUUUUUAUCCGUGUCCAAAGCAUUAAUCGUAUGACUGGGCAAAAGGUUCCCACUGACAUUAGGUGUAAAACUUUCACUUGCAUCAAAGCUUACCAACCCUUCCUUAAUCAAAUUUUAUACCUUAUAAUUAAAAAAGACAUAAUUUUUAGUAAACUGCCCCACCACUCUGAAAUGAUAGUCGCAAUAAGCAUUAGAGUCAUACCACUUGGGGUAAGAAGGUUCAAGUUAUUUUUCAAGGAUAAAAGCUAUUAAAUGGUUUUUGUAGAGCUCUUGAUAUAGCUCCAUAUAGCUCAUAGGUAUGGGGUUAAAGGUUGGUCUUUCUCUGGUUCGUGGUUCUCUGGUAUUACCUGUGGCACUUAGUGGGUAAGUAGGGGACCUUGGAGAAUAUGGAUAAGAUGAUCGAGUAGUUGAUUGGUAUGGGGAUGUAGAAGUAUAACUUAUUGUGUGGUGGUAUGUAAGGUAAACAGGCUGAGUAUAGCUUAUAAAUUGCUACCCUUCUAGACUUAUAGCUUGAGUCCCACUCUCUUUUUUCUUAGGUGCUCUUUUAGAAGACUUACCUCUUUUAAGCUACCUUUUUAUGGUAUUUUCGAUGUUUUCUGCCAAAAUCAUAAUGUUUGCAAAGUUCUUAGUCGCAUUUCCAAUCAUCCUUUCAUAAUAAGGUGACUUUAAAGUACUCACAAAUAGCAUAAUGAUCUCUUUCUCUGUUAAAGAGUGUUGUACUUAAGCGGCCACAUCCCGCCACCUUUGAGCAUAUUGCUUGAAGGACUCAAACAUUUUUUUCCAUUGCUUAUAGGGAGAGACAAUCGGGAGCCAUGUCAAUGAUGUGUUGGUACUAAUUAAUAAAGGAUCUGGUCAGAUCUUUCCAUGUCUUGAUAUGAGUUCCAUCUAAUUGGACAUACUAUCUAGCCUUAACUCCAGUCAAACUAUCUUGAAAUGCAUGUAUGAGUAAUUUCAUUACUAGCAUGUACAACCAUUUUAUGACAGUACAUGGUAAUAUGCAUGAUAGGACACUUGGUAUCAUCAUACUUCUCAAAUUUUGGUACUUUAAAUUUUGAUGGCAUCACUGCAUCUAACACUAGGCAAAGUCCCACUGUAUCUAUAGAUCUGUAAAAAUCUAUUCCCUCUAUAGCCUUUAACCUUUCUUCCAGCUUGUUUAUAGCCUAAUCAAUUUUAGAAUUUUCCAAGGGCAUAGCUACCUAUGGCUUUUUUUUUCCUUUAUCUCAUCUAUAAUAGAAAGUUGAAUGGGCUCGACUGCUUUCUCUGCAAAUACAAGAUUAUCAUAGCUUUGGACAUUUUCAUGACCUAAUGCAUAAGUCAUUCCUGGGUAGUUAUACUUUGAAAGGCUGCCUUUUGAGGCUGGAAGAAUGGUGUGGCUUGAUUUUGUGGUAGGCCGUAGCUUGGAGGAUAUGUUGAAUUAGUAGCUUCCUGUGAGGUAUCUUUUUCCAUUAAUUUUCCUCUAUUUAUCUUUUCUAGGGCCUCUAGAAUUUAGCUCAGUUUUUCCUCUAAUGCUUCUUGGGCUUUUUCUAUCUUUUUGAAGUAGCUGGCAUUAUCUUGUUCCAUCUUCCUUGCUUGAACCCGAGUAUUGUAUUGAUGAGUAGCUAUUCUCGUACCUUAAUACCAUAAUUAAAAAUUCAAUGAUAAUGCUAUGGUAAUGAAUGCAUGAAUGAAUGUGAUGCAAAAGCAAGAAAACAAAAAAAAAAUAUUUACCCCUUGAAAAAGAUCUAACAAAAUAAACUUUCAUUUAUUCCACAGAGGUCUAUUUUACAUCAAACCUAAUAUUGUUCCUCUAUAUAAAUGCCUAACUUGCUCAUACUGGUCUUUGGCCUCCAAAAUUAAGUUCAAUAGUUUCUAUCCAUGCUCUCUUGCUGGUGUGAUCAAAGCUCUCAGAGUCCCAGCCCUUUUUGCCAUCUCACCUGCUUAGAUCAUGGCCUUGCCUAUCUGAGCAGUAAGGUGUUCUAUGUAUUUUGUCUUCCCAACCCCUCUCUUUUGCCACAUUACACCUUAUAAGAUAAUUUUUUGUGUUGUUCUGUAAGGAUUCUGACAUGAUUUUUUUGUUCCCUCAAUUUUAAUGUCAGAGUUAGGAUGUGAUUUGAGAGCCAUUGAUUUUCUUGCUCAACCUCUAUGAAAGCAUUUUCUAUAUGGUCGAGCUCCUCUUUUAACUCUUCAUUUUUGUGAGCCAAUUCAGUAUUAUUUAUUUUUUUGGCUUGUACCUGUAUACGCAACCUCUUAUGCUCCUAUUGUAACUCAUUCAGCUCCUUUAGGGCGUCAUUCUAUUCCCUAACAAUUUUUUGGGCCUUAUUGUACUUUUUGGAAAUUCUAUGGGCUUGAACUUUGAGUUUCUCUGUUUUAUUUUGCCAUUGGUCCUUUUUUUCCCACAGCUUCAAGACCUCUUGUCUCAAUUUCUCCUUAUCCAUUUCAUGUUCUAAUUUCGAAAGCUAUUUAUCAGACUCUUGACCCACUAGUAAGUGGUAAUCCUGAGGCAUAAAUACAAUCUCUUGACCUAUCCUCUUUCGCCAAGUCAGAUAUCCCUGAGUGAUCCUAUCAGUGAAUGGCCCUAAGCUUACUCUCUUAGGCUUCUUCUAGGCUUUGAUUAUGCUGUUAAUCUUUUAGAAGGUUUCGAGCUCCCUAUAUGAGUAGUCAAACUGGCCGAGCUUGUGGGUUAUGGGAAUAAACUAUUCAGCUUCGUGCUGCCUCCUUACCAUUAAUGGGGCAUAACUUGUUAACCCCCAUAGGCCUAGAAGUGGGACCCCUAUCUCAUCUCCACAUUGGUAAAACAUAGGUUCUCUGCCCAUCCAUAGAGUUAACCAUUUUACUUGACUAGCAGUGAGUCUUUGUAACAGACAUUUCCACUCAUUCUGAGUUCUUGCCUCUGGCCAAGUGCUCUGACAGAAUUUCCUAAUCGAAUUUCGAGUGUAGAGAUAAAGUUUGGUAAAAGAACUUUUCUUGCAUUCAAAAUGGCUUUUCAUCCAUACAUAUGAUAAGGGUAUGCAACCCAUGAAACGUGUUUUGUCUAUCUGCCUAUAAAAACUUAGAAAUCUGAUAGUUUCUACUAAAAUAACUGGUGAAGGGUUACAACCUCUUUUGAUUUGCUUAAACAGAUCCAUCAUUUCUAUCUCAACGUGUCCUAAGACCUUAGGGAAGAUGACCAACUUAUAUAUGGCUAGAGCAAAUGCAUUCAUUCCCUGGUCAUCAUCUGGAUGCUUGAUAAUGAAAGCUUGGAAGACCCCGUAUGGAAUACUUUUAUGAUCACUUUUUUUUCGAAUGUAUGAAUCUAUAGUCUCCUUUCCCACUCCUAGCAUUUGGCUCAGUUUCCUAUGACUCCUUGACUUGUAUUUCUUCAUGUAUGUUCAAUCUGGAUAUAAUAGAUGUAUACCCAUAAUAGUUGAGUACUCUUCAAUUAUUGGUACCAAAUCAAUCUCAUUAAAGAUAAAACACCGGUAGGAGGGAUCCUAAAAUUGUAUCAUCACCUUGAUUAGUGAGUAGUCAACCUCCACUAACAAGAGAUAUGCUAUAUGUUCAAACUUCUCACAGAAGGUUUCCUGCCUCGAAAGGGUCAUACCACUCCAUAUGUCUGAUAGGCUUUUCAAGGUGUUGUGUUUAAGAAGUAAGUGGACUUCUCUUGAUAGUGUAGAGAUGUGACCAAGUGGUAAACAAUCCUCUUCUUCUAACUGUCUCCUUUUUGAUUCAAUCUUCACCUCUAUGGGAGAAUCACAUUUGAACAACAUAAAGGAGGUACAAACCUAAUGUUCUAUGGAAUCCAUAAGGAUUUUUGCUGAAAUAGUUUUGGGGCAAGAAUAUUAUGCAAUCUGCAAACAUGUUCAUGAAUGUGUGGAAAAAGAAAUAAGAAGAAACAAAGAAAUUAGUUAGUCAUUUCAAUGAAAUAUAGGGAAAAUAUAGUAGUUAAGAUAACAGCAUGACCUAGAAUUUUAGAUUUUCUACAAAGAGUGGGAAAUAAGGCUCUAUCUACGGUUGGGCUUCUAAAGUCAAUUAUAUGUGGUUUAGGCCACUUCUAAAAGGUUCCCAAAUUGUUCCUUACAUCAAGGUCUAUUACAAACUAGUAAGGCACCCUAAUCCUCACCCAUCACAGGCUUUAAUUGGAGAGGGUUCAAUCUGAGUGGGAGUGUUUCGCAGGCCAAUGCGGAGACAUGAAAUCUCACAAGGGCAUACGUACUUCACUCCCUUCUAAAGAUAGAGCUCGGGUGGAGGGCUUAUAUUAUGUACAUACAAGUGACUGAUAGAUACAAUAAGCAUAUAUUUAGGCCAACAUAGAUACUGAAUAAUAAGUCAGACAAAUAAAUAAUAAUAAAGUAGAUAUAAGCAAUGAAAAUAAGUAAUUUCAAAUUUGUUAGACAAGGCCUGGAUAAUAAGAAAUCUUUUACCGGUAUGACUCUUAUUACAGUCCCCAGCAAAAUUGCCAAAGUGUCAUAAUGUAUAGAUCCAUGAACCUACCGCUGACUUAAAAUGGAAAGGAGUCACCACCAAUCUUUUUUGUUAGGUAUGAUUGGCCACCUGAUUAAAGUUGAUCAACAAAAAAGAGGUUAGGUUCAGAAGUCGAUUGCACAUGGAAAAGGUUAUAGCAUCCCCAAAACGCCCAUCCAAGGGAUGGCACCAAUUUGAUUUCGAAUUAUCCAAGCCUUGCUUGUGAUUUUUUAUUUACCAGAUAGUAAAUUUUAUAUUUUCCCCUUUUUUUAGAAUAUUUUUUAGAAAAGACAAAAUAAUUUUUUCUUUCUUUUCUUUUUUUUUCUUUUUUGUGAAAAAGAUAGAAUAAUUUCUUUCCUUUUUUUCUAAAAAUAAAAAAAAAAAUAAAAUAUGGGUAAAAAUAAAUAACUUAGCAUAAAAAUCAAAAAAUAAAAAAAUAGAAAAAGUAAAACCUGCGGUCGGAUCAGGUCGGGAUGCGGGUCAGCGCGCGGAUCAUCGAGUCGAAGUGUAAAUCCUGGAUUGACAAAAUGGCGUCAUUUUGAAGCAGUAUAAAAGCACCUUUUAGCAUUUUUUCUCAGAACCCUAGAGCCUUUCUCUCUCUACCCUAAAAAUCCUCUAACCUCUUUCUAAAAUAUCCAUCGAAAAGUUUAACAGAAAACUAAAAAUAUCACUGGUUUCCAAAAACUUCAUCGAAAAAUUCAAUCGAAAACUAGAAAACCCAUUGGUUUCUGGAAAACCCAUCGGAUUCUUGAAACUUCAUCAAAAUCUCAUCGGAAACUUCAACUUUCAUCGAAAAUUUAACCCAAAAAUUCAAUGUUCUUCAGAAACUCUGAAAAACCCUGAAAAAUCUAAACAAAAACCCAAAAAAUCCAAAAAAUUCCCAGAUGAUUCUAAGCCCUUCCUAAACCUCUUACAACCUCAAAUCCUCCUUCAGAAACCCAAAAUCAUGCCCAAAACUACAAAUCGAACAUGAAAUCCCUAUCCUCGAAUCCUAGGAACCCUUACUACCAAAAUUUUCCUAAAGCUUCCCUAACAAUUUCCCUUGUGUUUUUUCUUGUUUUUGUGUGCCCCUCUGUGUCAGAAUUAGUCCAAUUUAUAGGCAGCCUAUGAUCAAUUUAGGAAAAGAACAGAAUCAAUCCCAGGCUUGAUUCUUGAGAUUACAUUCUGUCCAGAUGAGAUUUUAGGUCCAAAAUUUCUGCACCUCCCUGUUGAUACGAUUUGGGCAUUAAAAUUUGACUAUCAAGAUUUUGACUCUGAUUUUAUCACGUGGGAAUCAAAACAAAAAUGAAAAGAAGAAGAGAAAAGAAAAAGAAAAAAAUGAAAAUAUAUAAUAAUAAUAAUAAUAAAUAUAAUAUGGUAUAAUAUAAUAUAAUAGAAAAAAAAGAAAAUCAAAAAAGAAAAUAUUGAUAAUAAAUAAUAAUAAUAUAAUAAAAAAAAAAUCUAAUUAGACCUCAACGAGCCAGAAUGGGCCUGAACGAGAAUGGGCCUAAUUGUGCUUGGCUCUCAAUCGAGCUCGGACCAAUAUGGGUCCCAUUAAGCUUGGAUGAGAAUGGGCCCGGAUCAAAAUGAGUUUUUAACUGGGCUUGGGCUAGAAUAGGCUCAAUUGAGCCCGAACUAAAAUGAAUGUCUACAAUAACUGAUUUUUUAUACUUUUUCAAUAAAUCAAAUUUUAAUUUUAAUUCAUAAAUGUUACUUAUUGACGAAUAAUCAUUAAUAAAAUUAUCAUGCAUAUUGCCAAAAUCAUACUAAGUUUCUGAAAAGCAAUAAAAUUCUUUCUUUCUUUACACUUUCCACUCUUUUGGGAUCUCAUCUAUUUAUGCAAAUUAUACCGAGAUACAAAAGUUCUCUUUCUUUUUAUCAAUUAAGUAAUGGAAUUUAUAAAAUGAAUAACUUUUGAGUAUGGGUAUAUUAUUGACACCUCUAAAUAGCAAUGCUCUCCUUAUUAAUAUGGUAGAUUGGAUGCAUCAAGUUCCAAACCAAGUAGAUCAGGAAAGGUUCAAUGUUUUUCUAACAAUUGCUUAGGCUAUUUGAUACUCCAUAAUCAAAUUUUAGGGAGAGGAAUGAAAAAUAUGGAAAUUCUUACACUCAAAGGAAUAAUAUAUUCCAAACAUAGGCUUACUAUUUUCUGUAGGUUUUUUUUUUUUUCUUCAAUCUUUUUUGGAUAUCCCAUUGUUUAUGAGACAGCAAUAUUUUUCUUAUUGGUGUGUAGAGGCCAUGGUUUCGGGGUCAAACCCCCCUCCCGCCUAAAACUUUGUCUUUUUGUUUUAUUAAUUAAAAAAAUGAAACCGUGUCAAAAGGUUACUUUGUAUUUUAAUAGUAUAUAAAUAACCAAGUCUGCCUUCCUUACCCUCAUUUUUAUCUUUUUCUUCUUCUACAACUACUUGUUCCAUUCUUUCUCCUGUCAUAAGCUACAACAACAAUAAAAACAACCAUUAAUCUUUGUUUCCAGGUGGGAAAUGGAGUUUGAGCAACCCAUGUUUAGAGAAACAACGGAAGCCCUGAAAUUGAGGGCAGCAAAUGACAGUAAGACUUCAACCAGGGACAGGCAUAAGUCACCAGGAUCAACAUGCCGUUCCUAUGUUUCCAGCAAACUCUUCCAUGGCUCUGAAUCAUUCAGGACUCUAGAGAUGGCUGUGCCAAAGGUUGACUCCACCGAGAAAAAGCUGUCUUGGCUACGAUCUCAAAUCAUUGGCGGUGAUGCAGAAUUUGACUCUCCUUUUGGAACUAGAAAACUUACUUAUGCUGAUCAUACUGCAUCGGGUCGCUCUUUUCACUAUAUCGAAAACUUCAUCGUCACCAAUGUUCUGCCAUUCUACGGUAAAGGUUUUUUUUUCUUCUGAUCUUCAAUUGUGAUACUCUGAUUUAAUCAACAAAAGUGAUGGUGUCAUUUUCGAGUAUAAGAUAUAUAUAUAUAUAUAUAUAUUGGGGUUUUAGUAUUUGUCAGCUGAUCUUGGUUGGUUCGUGCGUAGGUAACACUCACACGUCUGACAGUUACGUGGGGCACAGGACGACGAAAAUGGUGCAUGAAGCGUCAAACUACAUUAAAAGAUGCCUAGGCGGCGGUCAAGAUGAUGCAAUUCUGUUUUGUGGCUCUGGCACUACGGCUGCUAUUAAAAGGCUACAAGAAGUUAUGGGGAUUACGGUACCAUCAAUUUUGAGGGACAUGGUAAUAAAUUGCUUAAUGAGUAUCGAUGGAUAGUUUUUAUUGGCCCUUACGAGUACCACUCCAACUUGCUUUCUUGGCAUCAAAGCCUUGCUGAAGUUGUUGAGAUUGGUUUAGAUGAGAAUGGGUUCGUAGACAUUAAAGCACUAAGAAAACAGCUUGAGCUGUAUAAAUACGCCAAUAGGCCUUUGCUUGGCUCAUUUUCAGCUUGUAGUAAUGUGACUGGGAUUCAAACAGAUACUCGAGAGAUUGCCAAACUUCUUCAUGAGUACGGAGGUUUUGUUUGCUUUGAUUUUGCAGCAAGGUACACAGCAAGAAUUUUCAUUUUUUGUUGUCAAGCUUUUAUAUUAGAGGUUGUCAGAAUUUAAACUUUGAUUGUUAAAAUUAAAAGUUUAAUAUUUUAAUAACAGAUCUCAAUUAAUUAUUAGCCAAGUUUAUGUAUUAUGUUAAUGUUAUAAAGCAAUGAGAAGUUGAUUUUUGACUGUGCGUAUCAUUUUGUUUUUGUGGAUAGUGGUCCUUAUGUGGAGAUUGAUAUGAGGUCAGGGGAGAUUGAUGGAUAUGAUGCCAUUUUCCUAAGCCCUCAUAAGUUUCUAGGUGGCCCUGGAUCGCCCGGCAUCCUUUUAAUUAGCAAGGCUCUCUACCAGCUAGGAUCUUCUCCUCCAUCAACUUGCGGAGGUGGAACUGUUAAUUAUGUCAAUGGUUUCAAUGAACAGGUAAUUACUCUCAAAUUUAAAAUUAAUUGAUAAUAAAUGAAGAGAUUUUUAUUAUAUUUAUGUGUUCAGAUUAAUUCAAUUUAAUAGAUGAAAAAUUUUAUUUUUGUUCACCUCUCUACUAUAAAAUGGAAAAUUUGUAUUUUCUUGACCUUUUUCUUAUUCUUGCUUACAUGUACCAUUUUGUAAGAAAUUUUGGUUUCUUUCUUCAACUGGACGACAUAAAGAAUGAUUAGGUAGCUGUCAGGCUUUUUGGAGUUUAGAAAUAAAUUCCUGAUUCAGAUGGAGCUGGUUUAGAUAUAGACUAGUGAAUGAUAAGUGUCUCUAAAAAAUUUUUUAUUUUAAUUACAAUUUUAGAAGAAAAGAGAUUUCCAACCAAAUUUCUGAAUGCAAGACUGUGUCAAUAGAAAAAUACUCUAAAGAAUGAUAAGUUAUCCUGAUAUUAAUCAGAUUCAUUCCCCAGCAUUUAGGGAAGCAGGUAUGCAAUUUAAUGUGGUAAAAUGGGGUAUUUAUUUUGCAGGACACAAUAUAUGUAAGUGACGUAGAAGAAAGGGAAAAUGGAGGGACUCCUCAAAUUAUUCAGAUUAUUAAAGCAGCGUUGACUUUAUGGGUAAAAGAAUAUAUUGGUUAUGAAGUGAUUGCAAAGCAGGAAAAGUCGUACAUAAAUCAAGCAUUGGAGAGGCUUCUCCCAAACCAAAACAUACGGGUUUUAGGAAAUGCAAGCACCAAGACCCAGAGACAAGCCAUACUGUCUUUCCUCAUCUACUCCACAACCAACGAUGGUAACAAUGUUGACGAGGCAGAGGAAAAGGGGAGGGGACUUUUCAUGUGGGGAGAGACUGGGAACAAGAGGGAUAAACCUCUCCAUGGCCCUUUUGUUGCAACCAUCCUAAAUGAUCUGUUUGGCAUCCAAGCUCGAGGUGGGUGUGCUUGUGCUGGACCUUAUGGCCACAGUUUGCUUGAUAUUGAUCAGACUCGAUCCCUUGCGUUCAGAGAAGCUAUUAAAAGGGUAUCAGUACAAGAUUUUCAAAUUUUUUUUUUCACCAAAUGAAAGAGAAGUAAAAUAUAAUUCAACUUAUCUAAUGCCAGUUGCAAAGUUUGAUUGCAGGGCUACAUAGGAGCAAAACCUGGAUGGACAAGAGUCAGCUUUCCUUACUAAAUGUCAAAUGAGGAGUUUGAAUACAUUCGUGCGGCAUUGGAGUUCGUAGCCAUCUAUGGCCAACGAUUUCUUCCUCUAUACCAUUUCAACCUGAGAACUGGCAGCUGGAUUUUCAAGAAGGCGCUUAAGGACCUGGUAGGAAAGGAGAAUAGUCACGGCAUCCAUGUCUUGCCUUUGGCUAGUGCUUUUCAGACAAUAAGCUUGGACCGUGACAAAAUUGAUGCAGGAAAGAAUGAUACUUCUAUCAUCCUUCAGUAUGCAUCAUAUUUGAAAAGUGCCAAACGAGUCGCUGCUCUCCUUCCCAAGUUUCCAUCUCGAAGGAGGUUUCACGAAGAUUUAGAUCUUAACCUCCUCCCUUUCAGAGUCUAACUAUGCUAUCAAAAAUUGAUUCGAGUUCAUAAUCAAAUUUAUCUAUUUUUCCUCUCUUCAUUGGAAUAUUCUCACAAAGCAAAAGCAGAAAAUUAAACUAGCUCAAGCCUGUCAUGUUGGCAGACUUUUCAAUUUCCUGAAAUCUGUUGCAGUGCCUGACAAAUUGGCUGAUACGUAAUCCAAUCUGAUCCAGACUUGUAUGAUAAUGGUGUCAUGCCCCAAAACUAAAAUGUAACACAGUUAUAUUAUCUUCAAAUAAAACUUUAAAGUAAUUCAAAAUCUUUUCUCUUAAUCAUUUUAAAAUUAUUUAAUAAAAAUAAUUUAUCCAAGUAAAAUUCAUAAAUUUAAUCUAACUAAUGAUACAUCUCUGUAUAUUCAAAGGUGAAUUAAUAAAAAAAAUAUAAAAUCAUUUCAUAAGAUCUCACUAACAAUAUUUCUAAUGCCCAAGUAAUAUUUCGAAUUUGAUCUUUCAGCUUUUAACAAGACUAAACAUACUUAUCACUUAUGUGUAAAGAAAAGUUAGAAAGAGAAUGAACAAAUUACAACUCAGCUAGUAUAGGAUCAUACACUUUAUCAGAUCAAGCAUCAGUUUCAUUCAUAUCAUAUAGAUCGUUCAAAACAUUUGUCAAAUAAUAAAAUCAAAAUAUUUCAAAAAUCAACAUUAUCUCAAAUAUUUUGUAUAUCAUAAAUCAAAAUCAAAACAAAUCAAUUCAUAAAUCAUUGCAAAAUAUGUUACCAUUCAAAUAUCGUAAUCAAAUUAAAUCAUAAAUCAAUCUUUAAAAUCAUCAUCAUCAUCAUAAAUCAUCAUUAUCAUUAGUUUAUCAUUAACUAUGGUCACUACUAUAAUCCGUAACAUUGACUAUAUCGAUAAUUUUAUCCUUAUGAUCAUUACUAACUAUUAUAACCUACUGGCCAAAGCUUUACACUAACUACUAUAACCUGUUGUAAUGGUUUUAUGUCCACUCGACGAAUUUGAAAAUGAAAUAAAGAGAACAAAAAACAGAGUCGCCACCAAUCUUUUUUGGCUAGAUGUGAUUGGCCACCUAUUAAAACAUGUCCUUUUAAUAAAAUCUUAAAAUUAAUUAAAAUUUAUUAAAAGGAUAAUUUUAAGGUCUAUCCAACAAUCUGGGUUCGAGAGUCAGUUAUGUGUGGGGAAGGAUUAGUACCCCCACAAUGCCCGUUUAAAACGGUACCAAUUGAUUACAUGUUAUCCAUUAAUUUUGAUAAAAACAGUCUUAUUUUCGGUAUUUGAAAAAUAAUUUCCUUGAUUUUUCAUUUAUUAGUUUGAAAUUGUUUUUUUAUUUAAUUUUAUUUAGUGCUCAAAUUUUAUUCGAGAAAAACAAAUUAGAACCUUUUUAUUGAAUUAAUUCUUAAAAUGUUUCAUUACUUUGGUAAUAAUUAAUUAAUUACAUGUUAUCCAUUAAUUUUGAUAAAAACAGUCUUAUUUUCGAUAUUUGAAAAAUAAUUUUCUUGAUUUUUCAUUUAUUAGUUUGAAAUUGUUUUUUUAUUUAAUUUUAUUUAGUGCUCAAAUUUUAUUCGAGAAAAACAAAUUAGAACCUUUUUAUUGAAUUAAUUCUUAAAAUGUUUCAGUACUUUGGUAACAUUAGAAGAACUUUUUCUCACCUAGAGAUUUCUUAAGCAUCGCUCCUCGGAAUACUUUAGAAUCUCAUCUUCAGAGGUCCGAAUUUAUUUUCCAUAAAAAAAUUAUGUCGUACAUGUAAUGCAAAUGCUAACAUGUUGAUGUAUAUAUUUUAUUUUACUCUUUAGAAAUUUUAUUAAUUUUUAUUUUUAUUUAAAUCUUUGAAGUAAAGAGGAAGUUUUAUGAUAUUGAAGAUUUUCUAUAAAUAUUUCAAUACACUGAUAAUAUUUAAAAAAAUUUCUCACCUAGGGACUUCGUAAAGCAUCACUACUUAAAAUAUCUUUAGAGUCCCGUCAUCGGAUAAAAUUUUCUCUUUCCUUAUUUUUUUUAUCACCUUAUUUUUUAGUUUAUUAGUUAAUUUUAAUUUUAUUAAUAAAAAAUUUUUUUAUUCUAUUGAAAACUUUUUAUAAAUACUCCAAUAUACUAGUAGUAUUUAAAAAAAAUCUUCUCACCUAGAGAUUUUGUAAGUAUUACUACUCGGAGUGUUUUUGAAUCUCAUCCUUGGAUAAAAUUUUUUUUUUUUACAUUUUAAAUUAUUAUUUUUUAUUAACUAAUUUUUAUCAAUUAUUGUAUAUUUUUCUUUAUUCUUGUUCAUUAAAAUUUUGAUAAGUUUAUGUUUAGUACUUUUUUAAAUUAAUUAAAUUAAAAAUAUUUUAUGUUUUCUACAAUUUCUUUUAUUUUAUAUGAAAAUUUUAUACAAAAAUAAAUUAAAAAUAACCAAAAAAUCAUAAAUUAAAUAAUAGAAAUAUAUAAAAAAAUUGAGCGAAAAAAUAAAAAAAUAAAUGUUACGGUGAAAAUACCUAAAAUGCCCCUAGUCAACACCAAUCAAAGAUUCGAAACGGCUCAGUCAACUCGGUCAAUUGGCUUGGACCUAUAGUCAAUGGCUUAGUUAGCUUGGCUUGGGUAUACGGCUCAGCUCUGUUCUUGGCUGGGCUCGGUGGCUUGGCUACCACUUAAUCAAAAGGACGUCGUUUUGAUUUCAUUAUAAAUAGUCCCUAAAACACCCCCACUCUUUCAUUUUUUCCUUUCUUCUCCUUCUCUCUUCUUUCUUUCUCUGUCCUCUAAAAUUCUUCUUCUUUCUCCUUCCCAAUUUUCAGCAAUCUUGUUGCCACCGACCGCCACUGCUGGUCACCGAUGCCAUCACCGACCACCGUUGGUUGUGUCGAAAAAAUUCCCAAAAAAUACCUACAAAAUUGUUUUCGACCCCCUGAACUCAAAUCCAACCUCUAUUUCAUGAGAAACGGCUUUGAACAAUGUAGAUCGAGGCCCAAAGUUUUCGGUCAGAAUGAAAAAAAAAUUUAUUUUGUGUUUUUGGCACUAAGAUCCCCGCUACCAAGGGUUUUUUUUUUUUUUUGGUUUGUGUUGUUUUUUUGGCUUGGUUUUCUUGGCUUUUUAACAAAGUUUUUUUUUUGAAUCGAUUUUUUGUUUUUCAGUGAUUUAUUUUGCAGAGGUUUUCCUCUCUUUUUUUUUUGUUAUGAGUUUUCGUGGCUAUAUUUAUAAAGCAAAAACAAGAUUAAAAUCCUGAAAAGUUUGGGAUUUGUGGGACUAUGGCUAGUGGCUAUCAUGAUGGUUGUCGGUGGCUAUUAGGCAGCUACCGAUGGCUGUCAGGCAACUACCAGAAAAGUUGCCAGAUAAGAAAAGAAAAGAAAAAAUAAAAUAAAACAAAAUGGAUGUCUUCAGCUGCCCCUCUUUCCUUAUUUCUGAGAAUCAAGAAUAAAGCAAAGACUAAAAGACAACCAUUUUGUUCAAGCAAAGACAAAGCAUUGAACACAGUUUUUUUUUCUUUUUUUUUUUUGAAAUUUUGAAAAGUUUCUCUAAGCAGAGGCUUAAUUUUUUUCCAAAUUUAAAAGGGUUUUUCUCAGCAAAGGUUCAACGACUUUUGAAAAUUUUGAGAGGGCUCCUCUAAGCAAAAGCUCAACAACUUUAAACAAUUUAAAGAGGCUCCUCUAAGCUUAGGCUCAACGACUUUUAAAAAUAUAAAUAGCUCAUCUAAGCAAAAGCUCAACAACUUUAAAAAAUUUAAAGAGGCUCCUUUAAGCAGAGGCUUAAUAACUUUUAAAAAUAUAAAUGGCUCCUCUAAGCAAAGGCUCAACAACUUUAAAAAUUCAUAUUGAAAAAGCUCUUCUAAACAGAGGCUCAACAACUUUAAAAUUCUCAUCUUAAAAAAGCUCCUCUAAACAGAGGCUCAACAACAUUAAAAUUUUCAUCUUAGAAAAGCUCCUCUAAGUAGAGGCUCAAUAACUUUAAAAAUCUCAUCUUGAAAAAGCUCCUCUAAGCAGAGGCUCAACAACUUUAAAAUUCAUCAUCUUGGAAAAGCUUCUCUAAGCAAAAGCUCAACAACUUUAAAAUUCUCAUCUUGGAAAAGCUCCUUUAAGUAGAGGCUCAACAACUUUAAAAUUUCAUCUUGAAAAAUAACUUCGAAUAUUAACAUAAAAGGGGACUUGAUCUCAGAUAUCACCAUUGAGAACGAUGUAAUGACUUCGGAUAUCAUCACCGAAGAAAAUGCAAAUGAUUUUUUAACACUCAGAUAUCACCACCGAGAAGAUGUAAAUGACUUCGGAUACCAUCACCGAAAAAAACUUGGAUAUCAUCAUUGAGAAAAUGUAAUUCAAGCUUUAACACUCAGAUAUCACCAUCGAGAAUAUACAAAUGAUUUUUUUAAUGCUUGGAUAUCACCACUGAGAAAUUACAAGUGUAGAUUCAAACUUUAAACUCGAAUAUCAUCACCGAGCAUAUGCAAAUAACUUUGGAUAUCGCCUUCGAAGGAAACUUGAAUAUCACCAUCGAGAAAAUGCAAAUCAAGCCUUAACACUUGGAUAUUACCACCGAGAAUAUGCAAAUGACUUCGGAUUUCACCACGGAAGAAAAACUCGAAUAUCACCAUUGAGCAAAUGCAAUUCAAGCUUUAAUACUCGGAUAUCACCAUCGAGAAGAUGUAAAUGACUUCAGAUAUCGCCACUGAAGGAAACUUAAAUAUCACUAUUGAGAAAAUGCAAAUAAAGCUUUAACACUCGGAUAUCACCAUUGAGAAGAUGCAAUUCAAACCUUAACAUUUAGAUAUCACCAUCGAAAAGAUGCAAAUGACUUUUUUUUUUUAAUACUCGGAUAUCACCACCAAGUGAUUUUGAAAAUGUCUUGGAUUUCACCACCAAAAAAUGCAAAUGAAAAUUUAAACUUUAAACUUAGAUAUCACCACUGAUAAUAUGCAAAUAAUAUCACCACCGAAGGAAACUCGAAUAUCACCAUUGAGAAAAUGCAAAAUCAAGCUUUAAUAGUCGGAUAUCACCACUGAGAGAAUGCAAAUGCAAAUUCAAACUUUAAACUCGGAUAUCACCACCGAGAAUAUACAAUUCAAACCAUAACACUUGGAUAUCACUACCAAAAAGAUGCAAAUAACCCUUUUUUUAAUACUCAGAUAUCACCAUCGAGUGAUUUUGAAAAUGUCUUGGAUUUCACCACCAAGAAAAUGCAAAUACAAAUUUAAACUUUAAACUUGGAUAUCACUACCGAUUGAUUUUGGAAAUAUCUUGGAUAUCAUCAUCAAGAAAAUGAAAUUCAUACUUUAAUACUCGGAUAUCACCAUUGAGAACUUUGAAAGCAAUUUAUCACAAUAUUUUUCUUAACUAAUGUUGAUUUCACUAGGUUAACAACUUUUUUGCCAGCUAGAUUGAGCUUAAAGCUCUCAUCUUAUGCCAUUAUCUUGAUCUUUUGAAUAUGUUUUUGCCCCCUUUUUUCUUUUUUCUUCUUUAAUGCUUCCAAAAUUGGUGAAUGCCAUUAUGAUGCAAAUGUCUUCUCUUAAAAUGAGGAUGCAAAUAUAAAUGUCUUUUCCUAAAAUGAUGCACAUGAAAUAAAAAUGUCUUUUCUUAAAAUACCAAUACACAUAUGCUUUAUCAAUGAAGGACAAGUUAAUGAUGCAAAUGCAAUGUCAAAAGGUUCAAAUGCUCAAAAAAAUUUUAUAUUAAAAAGGUCAAGAUAUGUUACUGCCCAAAAUCUUCUUUUCUUCAAAGUUCUCUUUCAUUCAAUCUCGAAUCUUCCAUCUCAAUUCCAAAUCCUUUCUUUGCUACUCAUUUUCAAUAAUUUUGCUUUCUUUAUUCACAAUUUGGAUUUCUCGACUUUUCUUUCCAUUUUCAUCUUCAAAUCGAACAUGUAUAUGACCAGUUCAAACUUGAUGAAAAGGAAUUGAAGAAAAUGAGCACUCAAACCGUGGUAAAAACUCAACUAAUUAAACAUACUUUUGUGUUCCUAUAUUGCCUUUUAUUUUACUCAAAAUUUUUUCAAAAUUUUAUUUUUCCUCUCUAAAAACAUUUUAUUUUAAUGACAAAAUUCUCAAAAAAAUUGCCUUAGUCAAUCUCUAUGAAACAAUGUGACUUUUAAGUUUCUAAAAAAAAUUGGUGAUCAUUAUUAUGCACAUGGCAAAUCUAUCUUUUCAAAAGGUUAGGAUGAUCAAUUGUCAAACUAAGGUCUGCAUGGGAAAAUUGAAUUUUUAUCCAGGUUUAACAACAAAUUUUUUUGAAAAGGUUCUUUUGUGGUUAAAUCAUAUUUGACACUCUUUUUAGUAUCACAAUGUGGUAUUUUAACAGAUGUCAAGACUAGCUAUGCUAAAUUCAAGAUCAUAUUAGGAAAGGUCGAGAUUUUUUCAUCUCAAUCAUUGGUUGCAAUGAGUUUUCAUGUUGCAAUCUCAUUCUUACUCUAGACUGCCCCUUUUUUUUGUUUGGUUUUCACCCUAGAGCUUUAUUCUUCCAUUUUUCUUUUUUUUUUUUAACAAUUUCAUCAUGCACUCAAGUACUUGUGUGAAAGAGAAAAUUUUGCAAAGAAAAUAGACAAAAGUGAAAUUGGUCAUGAGGAUUUUAUAAGGAACAAACUCUUCAUUUCAAGUAUCCAUGUUUGAUUGAAAUGGACUUUUCAAGGUAUGUAAUAUAGGCAGGGUUUGAGGUUCUAAAGGAAUGGAUAAAUAGGCCUAAAACAUGUGUUUGAAGGUGAUCAGACCAAUGAUCAUUUUACAUCAUGUGAAGGACUCCUUUUUUUUUAUGAAGCAUUCAUCCCUUUUAUUUUUUUAGUCGUAAUUGUUUCAUUCUUCCUCCUUUUUUUCUUUUCACUUUUGCUCUUUCUUGCAUAUUUCAACAUUUGUUGGAAUAUGUUCAAAACUUCUAAAACUUAAUUUGUUGGACAUUUGUCCCUACAACUGAAGGCAUUCUUUCUUUAUUGUUGAAGCAUGACUCUUUUUUUUUUUGUUUUUGUAUUUCUCCCCUAAUGCAGAAGAUGAUCCUUAAUUAAGGUUCAUUUAGAAAGAAUUUACUAGGCUCAAAAGGGUAGCAAAUAGAUAAUUUCAUAUUUGUAAAAGGAUGAAGAAAGAUGGCCAUUUGUCAUCUCAAGCCUGAUCACUUUGUGCUGAUGAGUGAUUUCUUAAAAAAUCAAAAUUUUAUUUUUCUCACCUUUUUUUUUUUAUCUCUUUUCACUUCUCUUUUUAAGAUCGUUUUAAUAUUUAGAGUGCACGAUGUACUCAUCAAUAUUUUUUCUUUUACUUUUUUUUUCUUUAUAACUCAUAUGACAACCAAUCUUUGUUCUAUCUUGGUAAGUCAACAAGCUUUAUGUGACAAUGAGAAUCAUGUUGAAAGGGCUUAUUUAGGUCCUAAUUGUGCACAUCAUCACCAAAUUAGAUAAUGGCAUGAACUAGGUAAUUUUGGGGCAAUUAAAAAUCAUUCUCUUUUGUCAAUAUGCCCCUAGAGAAAAAGGUGCAUUCGUGUAUUCAUGGCUAUGACUUUUUGUUUGAAGCAUAGUCUUGACACCUAUCAACUCACGAACAUCUAGAUAAAAAGGCAUCAUAUUUGUCUGAUUUUCAAAGAAUUUAGAAGGUUUUUCCAAAUUGGUCAUUUCGGUGUUUGUCACCUUGACAAGAGGCAUCACAAAGUUCACACUUGUAUCCUUUGAAGCAUUAAGGUUUUUCAAGUGAUUUUGGGACAUGAAAAGGACAUGAGAAUAUUUUAUUCAAUUAGAUUCAUAAUAAUGACCACUAAUUUUUUUUUAGACUUUUAUUAUGAAGAGAAAAGAAUUUUUUUAUUUUUUAUUUUUUUUAAACUUGAGCUAAAAAAGAAAAGAAAAGAAAAAAAAAACUUUCUCAAUUAGCAUUCGGAUUUAACUUUCAUACAAGUUCUGAAAUUCAUACACAUGUCUAACACAAAAGUGAAAAAGAAAAUAAAAGCGGCACACUUUUUGAAUCAAUCCACCUUUUUUCAACACCCAACAAACCAUCAUUUUUUCACAAAACCCAUAGAACCAUUCUCCAAUUCUUCAUCUUUCCAUUGCAUCCAAAAUAUUAAUAUCAAUGCUUUAACACCCCCAGUUCACCUUUUUCCAAUAUAUCAAGGACACAAUGAUCACCGUUAGUUUCAAAUUUUAUUUUUCUAGCUUUAAUGAGAUCUCUAACCUUAUAUUUCAGUGCCGGAUAGUUUUCUGUUGAGUGACCCUAAUUUCCAUUAUGGUAAUCACAUUUUACAUUAGGAUCAUACCAUUUUGGGUAAGGGGGUUGAAAUGGUUCUAGAUGCACAAGUUUUAAAAAUCGAUUCUAGAUAAGUUGGGGUAACAAUUUUGUGUAAAAUAUGGGAAUAUGGUAAAAAAUGGUUCUUUUUUUUAGGAUUUCUUGGGGCUCUUGGACAACUACCUGGAUUGGAUCUUUGUUUUGAUUUGGUAGGUGCAGCGAAAUGGUUAUAUGAAUAGCUUAGUGUUUUAAAAGAUAAUUGAAAAUGGGGUGUACAAGCUGGCUAUUGUAACAGCUGAUAUGGUUGACAAGGAUAAUGAAUAGAUGUGACAUUGUUUAUUGGUGUAAGGUAUGGAGUGAAACCUCCAAACUGUUACCCCACAUAGUUCAUGCUUAGGCUUUAUUCUCUUUCUUUUUUUGGGGCUUCACCUUUCUUUGCUUCACUUGUCUCUCCUGCUUAAGCUUACCAUUUUUUAUAGCAUUUUCAAUAAUCUCACCUGAUAUCACUAUAUUUGUAAAGUUCUUGGUUGCAUUACCUAUCAAUCUCUCAUAGUAUGGUGCUUUUCAAAGUGUUCACAAAUAAGACAAUUAUCUCUUUCUUAGUGAAAAAAGGUUGUAUUUGUGUAGCCAUAUCUUUCCAUCUCUGUGCAUACUUUUUGAAACUUUUUGUUGCUUUCUUUUCCAUGUUCUUUAGAGACAAAUGAUCUGGAGCUAAAUCCAUGACGUGUCGAUAUUGUGUAAGGAAUGCUCCUGUGAGCUCUUACCAAGAACAAAUACGAGUUCUAUCUAGUUGAACAUACCAUCUGGCUGUAGAUCUUGUAAGGCUAUCUUAAAAUACAUGCAUCAACAACUUCUCAUCAUGAGCAUGUGCCACCAUCUUAUGACAAUACAUGGUGACAUGAAUAAUUGGGCAUUUUGUGCCAUCAUAUUUUUUAAAUUUAGGGACUUCAAAUUUUGGUAGAAUGACCACAUCUAGCACCAAACAAAGGUCGACUGCAUCCAUGAAGCCAUAAAAAUUUCUUUCCUCUACGGCCUUAAGCCUUUCUUCUAAUAACUUCAUAGUCUCUCGGGCACUAGUAUCUUUCACUUUUUUAGGUAUCUUUAUCCCUGUCUUUUCUCUCUCCUUAGAAUCAUCCAAAUUAGGAACCAAGAUUGGCUCGGUGGUUUUUUCAUCAUAACAGGAAUGACAAAAUUUUGAAAUUAUCCUGGAGUAGGUGUGGAUGUCAUUCUUAGAUAAAGAUUGGAAUAUCCUCCAGGAGUAAAAAUUUACACUCUGGUUCUUUGGGAAGGUAGGGUUGGUCAUGGCUCAAACCCUGAAGGGUAAAUAGGAUCCACCAUGUCUGGCAAUUGCUCUUAAAAGUUAAAAUUUUCUUCUACCAUUUUUUCUUUAUCAAGCUUUUUGAACAUGUCCAUUAUCUUAUCAAUAUCUUUUUCUAGUUCUUCUUGAGUCUUCUCCAUUCUCUCAAAUCGACUAGCAUGUUCUUGUUCCAUGAUUCUUGUUUGAGCUCUGGUGUUGUAUGAAUGACAAGUAGAUUGAGUCAAAAUUUUGGUGGGUGAGCAAUUUUUAAACCUUUAUUAUCAUAAAUUUUUUUUUUAAAAUCAAAAUGCCAAUUGUUGAAAAUUUUAUUUUCCAUUUUUAUUUUUAAAAGAAAACAAAAAUGGUGCACAUGAUGCAUGAAUGCAAGUGAGAAAUAUUUGCUCUUGGACAAAUUUUUGCACUAAAAAUUUUCAUUAAUUCAUACAACUUUUGUUACAUGAGAUUUUAUCAUUCUAGAAGAAGAUGAGCAAAUUUGUAGUUUUAUGGGAUCCAUGAAAAACCUCUCGGGAGAAAGAUGUCCUAGGGCAAAUACCUUGAUGAAGAACUGUAUGAUAUGAUUUAUGUAAAAACAAAACAAAACAAAAUUGAGUUAGUGUGAGGAUAUGGUUUGAGAUUAAAAACAUUUUUUUGUUUUGUUUUUGUAUUACACACAACUUUUAUUCCUAUACGUUUUGGGUAGGCGAGGCUCUGCCUAAGGUUAUCUUCCUAGGCUUAUUACGUGCUUGGUUUGGGCUAUCAUACAUCUAAAGGUUCUCAAAUUAUUUUUUACUGUCGUCUAUGCUAGACUAGUAAGGCACCCCAUCCUCACCCAUUGUAGGCUAUGAACGAAAAAGGUUCAAUGUGAGUGAAAGUAUUUCGCUUGCCAUUGCGAAGGUUAUCAGGUCACGAGGGCAUAGGUACUUUAUUUCCUCCUAUAAGGAACAGAACCCGAGUAUAGAGCUCAUGCAAUGAGGUGCAUCGUGUCAUUGUGUGUGUACAUGUUUCCUAAUAAGAGUAAUAUAUACGAAAAAAAUAAAGCAUAAGAGGCAUAGUAAAAGAAACGUGUGUGAAUUUUUUUUCUUUUUGUUUUGUUUUUGACCUUUUUUUCUAUUGAAAGUGAAAAAUAAAAAUCUAAGAAACCAAUUAGGACUGUUUAAAUCAAAAUUUAAGUAUAACACGUAGUUAAUUUUGGCUUGACUCUUGAAAACAAAUGGCAUCCCCAAUGAAGUUGCCAAGCUGUCAUAACGGUUUUGUGUCCGCCCGACGAAUUUGAAAACAAAAUAAAAAGAACAAAAAACGGAGUAGCCACUAAUCUUUUUUGGCUAAGUUUGAUUGGCCACCUAUUAAAACAUAUCAUCUUAAUGAAAUCUUAAAAUUAAUUAAAAUUUAUUAAAAGGAUAAUUUUAAGUUCUAUGCAACAAUCUAGGUUCGGGAGUCGGUUUCAUGUAGAGAAGGAUUAGCAUCCCCACAGCACCUGUUUAAAACGGUACCAAUUAAUUAUGUGUUAUCUGUCAAUUUUGAUAAAAACAAUCUUAUUUUCAGUAUUUGAAAAAUAAUUUCCUUGAUUUUUCAUUUAUUAGUUUGAAAUUUUUUUUAUUUAAUUUUAUUUAGUGCUCAAAUUUUAUUCGAGAAAAAUAAAUUAGAAUCUUUUUAUUGAAAUAAUUCUUAAAAUAUUCCAGUAUGUUGGUAACAUUAGAAGAAUUUUUUCUCACCUAGAGAUUUCUUAGGCAUCGCUCCUUAGAAUACCUUAAAAUCUCAUCUUCGGAGGUCCGAAUUUAUUUUCCAUAAAAAUAUUAUGUCGUGCAUGUAAUGCAAAUGCUAACAUAUUGAUGCAUAUAUUUUAUUUUACUCUUUAGAAAUUUUAUUAAUUUUUAUUUUUAUUUAAAUCUUUGAAGUAAAGAGGAAGUUUUAUGAUAUCGAAUAUUUUCUAUAAAUAUUUCAAUACACUGGUAAUAUUUUAAAAUAUAUCUUUUCACCUGGGGACUUCAUAAAGCAGCAUUACUCGGAAUGCCUUUAGAACCCCAUCAUCAGAUAAUUUCCUCUUUCCCUAUUUUUUUUAUCACCUUAUUUUUUAGUUUAUUAGUUAAUUUUAAUUUUAUUAAUAAAAAAAAUUUAUUGUAUUGAAAAUAUUUUAUAAAUACUCCAAUACACUGGUAGUAUUUAAAAAAAAUCUUCUCACCUAGAGAUUUCGUAAGUAUCGUUACUCAAAGUACCUUUGAAUCUCAUCGUCAGAUAAAUUUUUUUUUUUACAUUUUAAAUUAUUAUUUUUUAUUAAUUAAUUUUUAUCAAUUAUUUUAUAUUUUUCUUUAUUCUUGUCCAUUAAAAUUUUGAUAAGUUUAUGUUUAGUACUUAUUUUAAAUUAAUUAAAUUAAAACUAUUUUAUAUUUUUUACCAUUUAUUUUAUUUUAUAUGAAAAAUUUAUACAAAAAUAAAAUAAAAAUAACAAAAAAUCAUAAAUAAAAGGCUACAUUAAAAAUACCUAAAAUGCCCCUAGUCAAUAUUGGUCAAAGAUUCGAAACUGCUCAGUCGGCUCAAUCAACCAGUUUGGACCUAUAGUUAACGGCUUAGUCGGCUUGGCUUGGGUAUACGGCUUGGCUCUAUUCAUGGCUCGACUUGAUGGCUUGGCUACCACUUAAUCAAAACGACGUCAUUUUGAUUUCACUAUAAAUAGCCCCCAAAACACCCUUACUCCUUCCUUUUUUCCUUUCUUCUCCUUCUCUCUUCUUUCUUUCCUUGUCCUUCAAAAUUCUUCUUCUUUCUCUUUCCAAGUUUCUGGCAAUCCUGUUGCCGGUGACCGUCGUCGUCGGUCACCGGUGCCAUUGAAAAAAUACCCAAAAUUUUUUUUAAAAUACCUAAAAAAUUAUUUUCGAUCCUCUGAACUCAAAUCCAACCUCUGUUUCAUGAGAAAUGGCUUCAAACGACGUAGAUUGAGGCCCAAAGUUUCGGUCAGAAUGAAAAAACAAAUUUUUUUCUUUUACGUUUUUGGCACUGAGAUCUCUGCUACCAUGGGUUUUUUUUUUAGGUUUGUGUUGUUUUUUCUUGGCUUUUUAACAAAGUUUUUUUUUAAUUGGUUUUUUAUUUUUCAGCAAUUUUUUUCAGAGGUUUUCCUCUUUUUUUUGUUAUGAGUUUUCGUGGCUCUAUGUAUAAAGCAAAAAUAAGAUUAAAAUUCUAAAAAGUCUGGGAUUUGUGGGAUUGUGGUUGGUAGCUGUCAAGAUGGUUAUCGGUGGCUGUCAAGUAGCUGUCGAUGGCUGUUAGGUGAUUGUCAAGCAGCUACCGAUGCCUGUCAGGCAACUACCAAAAAAGUUGCCAAAUAAGAAAAAGAAAAAGAAAAAAUAAAAUAAAAUAAAAUGGGUGUCUUCAUAACCCACUAGUAGGACCAUUUGAUCGUGACUAUGUUAACUACUACAAUCCGUUAGCUAAGGUCAUAUAACUAGUUCUGGUAUCGAUAAUCUCACUUCUCAAGAUGUAAAAUUUGUAGUUAUUCUGAAAUUAUUCAGUAAACAUAAAUCAAUUUCUCAUCAUCCCUUUCGGAGUCUAACUAUACUAUCAAAAACAUAAAAUUUGUAGUUAUUCUGAAAUUAACCUCCUCCCUUUCAGAGUCUAACUAUACUAUCAAAAAUUGAUUCGAGUUCAUAAUCAAAUUUAUCUAUUUUUUCUCACUUCAUUAGAAUAUUCUCAUAAAGCAAAAG
Molecule: long non-coding RNA, 79022 nt
Filed under: Durio zibethinus
Lineage: Eukaryota; Viridiplantae; Streptophyta; Magnoliopsida; Malvales; Malvaceae
Description: long non-coding RNA (DZIB_LNC001103)
Source: RNAcentral